UCACCUUUAAUAGAUUUUUUUUAGACUACCAAAACCUAGAGAACUAACGCCUAAACCCUUAGGAGCUAUCCUCCGUUUUUCACAGACCCCCCCUGGAUCUUAUCUUCUUAGACACAAACCACAAAGAAAAACGAAAAGAACACAUCUAUUUCUAGACUCUAUGACCAAAACCAGUAGCAGUACCCUCACCAGUCCACCCCCUUAACCUCUACGACGCUUUCCUACCAACACCAACAGCUGCUUCUUCACCGGAAACCAAUCAACCUCCCAGCCGUUUCCCCUGGUUCGUGAAUGACCACCCUUGAACAGGGUGGAUCUUUUUCUUCAAUACUCAGUUCCAGAAUAUCUCACCUCACAGCAGACCCAUUUUUGCUAUUUAACAAUCAAAAAUGACCGGAAACCACUCACAUACGAAUAGUAAGAGAAACAGAGGUACACGGACAGAGAGAGAAGGGAACGGGAAUGAACACAUCUUAUUUCCUUCUUUCAGUUCUUUUUCGAUUUUUCAUCUCAAACUUGGAGGUGUUAUCCUUUUAUUUUCCAUUCCAAAUGGAUGAUAUUUGAGUUUGUGUUUGUUGCGAAUUUUGUCGCCGAUUUGAGGUUCCAUUCGAGCUACUGUCUGAUUUGACUCCCAUUAUAGCUAUGGUUUCAUUUUGUUUUGCUUGUGUAACUGCUGAAUUCAAAGUUACAAAUUAAAACCAAAACAAAAAUAUAAAAAUAAAGAGGAUUUGAAAUCCAAUUCAGUUUCUAUUCUUGUAUUUCAUUUUUGGAAUGGCGAUUAACCUUUGGAUUUUGGAGGAACUUUUUGGCUACUACUAACUGUUUGAAUUGCCAUAUCUACUUUGCUGGGAUCUUGAAUUGUAUUUCUGCCUUAUUUGGCCUACUUUAGCACUUUCUCGUGUCGAUUAGUUUAGAGUUGAUUUGGAGUUCCGUUCAAGGUGCCGAGGUUGUUGGGCAAAAUUUCCGGUCGAAAUCUAAUCUUGCGCUCGAUAUUUGUUGUUGUAACCAAUUUGCAGUGAAGCUAUAAAUGUCCGAUUUCACUAUCUUUAAUCAUUUUAUUGACCUAUUGUUUGUGCUUAGUUGUUGGUUGAGGUUAUCUUGAUAAAAUCUUGGUAUGAAGUAGCCUACUGUGUAAUGGUUGAAAUCACCCAUGUGCUUUUGUGUUCCUGCUGCUUUUUCACAUUCUUUAAUACUGUUUGUGGUUUAAGAAUAUUUGUAGAAAUUGAAGAAUUAUUGGCCUAGUUGAUUGUUACGUAAGUCUUGAGUUUUUCACUUGGGAUUAAAAGGAUUUGGGUCAUAAUUUAAUGGAAAUAGGCAUUGGCAUUAAGAGAUCAUUUUUGAACAUAUAACUUUAUGGUGCGUUUUAAGAAGGAACCAUAAUUGGGUUUGGCAUUACUUCGUUAAUUUUGACUUUAGAAUGGUGUUACAAUAUUAGGGACAAUUGGGGUAGUAAAUUCAUUGACCAAUUGGGUCAUUGGGGUAAUUGUGAUUAAUUGGAAUUAAGCCAUGAAGUUCUGAACAUAGUAACGAGAAUUUGGAACUUUGAUAUUUUAUUGCUCCCAUUUAAUGUUUUUAUCACUUGUAAUAUUCGUAGUUUGCUUUAGGCACAUUUAAUAUAUCAUCGUUUAAAGUAAACUUAAUUUUGAUUCUAAAAACAAACCAAGGUAUGCAUUCGUGCAACAUCGAUCAAAACUUUUCUUAAAUAACUAAUAAAGCAUGAUUAAUUGUGGACACGUACGCGUGACAUAAUUUUUGACAUGCCAAGCAAAACAAGUACAUGUACGCGUGACUUAAUUCUUUAAUUACGAAUAAUCAAGCAAUUAGAAGUGGUAAAAGGUAAAUGCACAUAGGUUCUAAAAUAAGUAAUUAGACAAUUUAAGCCGAGUAUAAAUCGCUAAGCGACCGUGCUAGAACCAUGAAACCUGGGAAUGCCUAACACCAUCUCCCGAGGUAACAUAAUUCCUUAUCUAAAAUUUCUUGUUCGCAGACAUUUAAAUACUGUUGCAAAUUUUCUCGAUUUGGGAUUUAAAAAUAAACUGGUGACUUGGGACACCAAAUAUAUUAUUCCAAGUGGCGACUCUGAAAAAUAAAUAAAAUAAUCCUAUUUCUAAUAAUGUCACUUUAAUAUGAAAAAUUCCCUUAUAUACCAUCCCGAGUGGUAAAAAGGAGGUGUGAAAGCUCUGGCGACUCGGCUGGGGAUAAGAACCCAAAAUCGUUGGUUCAGGGUUCAAGAAUUCGAGCUUGUUAAUGUGAUUUUUACUUGGCUUUAUUUAUUGUUGAUGUUACUGUAUUUUGUAGACCUAAUAUGCAUAUUGCCUUUUAUUUACCGCUUUGAUAUUACUUGAACUAUAUUAAACUGUCUCCCUACGCCUACCUUCUGAGUUAUCUAAAAAAUGGUGCACACAUUUGCGUGACCCACUUUUUUUGUUAGAAGUUAUACCAAAUAGAAUGAGGUUGGGCCAACAGCAAGGCCGGGUAGACUUUCGUGCUCCCGGUACGUUGCCCCCUCUUUGGUUCGAGUUGUUUGCUCCGGUAAGUGUGACGACCCGACCGAUCAUCUUAAGAAUUUAUGCCCCGAUCCCCUAUUAACUGCUCUCCCUAUGUUUGUUCCUGCUAUUGUGAGUUGAUGAGAGGAAUUGUUUAGAGUUUCGGAGAGUUUUGGGACACUUAGUUCCUCAAUGAGACCUUAAAUUUUGAAAAUUUGACCGUAGUUGGAAAAGUGUGAAGACGGCCUCGGAAUAGAAUUCUGAUGGAUCCGUUAGCUCCGUUGGGUGAUUUUGGAUUUAGGGGCAUGUUCGGAUUGGGUUUUGGAGGUCCGUAGCUAAUUAGGCUUGNNNNNNNNNNNNNNNNNNNNNNNNNCCGAGCCUAAUUUAGGCCUUGAAAUUCGACCGAAAGUUGAAUUUUUGAAGUUUCCGGUUCGAUAGUAAGAUUUUGAUCCGAGGGUCGGAAUGGAAUUCCGGAAGUUGGAGUAGUCUGUAAUGUUGAAUGUGACGUGUGUGAAAAAUUUCAGGUCAUUUGGACGAGGUUUGAUAGACUUUUUGUUUGAAAGUGUAUUUUGAGAGUUUUUGAAGUUCUUAGGCUUGAAUCCGAUGCUAAUUUGUUUAUUUGAUAUUGUUUGAGCUAUUUUGGAGAUUUGUAUAAGUUUGGAUAGUGGUAUAUGACUUGUCCGUGCUUUUGGUUGAGGUCCCGGGGGCCUCGGGAUGAUUUCGGAUGGUUAAUGUGGAGUUGGAACAUCGAGUUUGCAGCUGAAGUUCUUUGGGCUGCUGUCAUCACCGCAUCUGUGGGUUGGAGGCCACAGAUGCGACUCCCGCAGAUGCGGAAUUUAGCCGCAGAAGCGGCCAUAUAAGGAAAGGCGAUGUGUCGCAGGUGCGGAUGAGUUCACGCACCUACGUGACCGCAUAUGUGAUGAACAGGUCGCAGGUGCGGACUUGGGGAAUUAAUGAGUAUUCGCAUGUGCGGUCAUUCUUUCGCAGAAGCAGGACCGCCGAUGCGUCCCUUGACCGCAGAAGCAGAAUUGCUGGGUUGAAAAUAGGAACUUCGAGGGUUUGGUUUCAAAAGAUGGAAAAAAUGAUUUGGAGCUCGGGAGAGGGCGAUUUUGGGAGGAAUUUUAAGAGGAAAUCAAUGGGUAAUAAUUCCUUAACCCUUUCUAGUUGUAUUCCAUUAAUCUAUUGUUACUUUUGUCAUUUAAUUUCGGAUUUGAGAUGAAAAUUUGGGAAAAAUUGGAAGAAAGUUCUUUAACCUAGAAUUCAAUUUUUGAUUGCGAGUUUGACCUUGGAUUUGGAUAAUUUUGGUUUGCAUAAACUCGUGAGAGUAUGAGGAUUGUGAAAAUAUAAAUUUUACACGAUUCUAAGAUGUGGGCCCGAGGGGCGUUUUGGUCAUCUUACCUAAUUUUGCGUAUUAGCCUAGAAUUUAUUUGUAGAAUCAGUUACUUGAAGUGUUAUUUACAUUAUGCAAUCGAAUUGAAUAGAUUUGGGUCAUUUGGAGUCGAGUACUCGUGGCAAGAACGUGGUUUUGGGUUGAUUUUGAGCCAAUUCGAGGUAAGUGGCUUGCCUAAACUUGUGGGGGGGACAUUUCCCCUUAGGAUUGGUAUUGUGAUAUUUGAAAUGCCUUGUACGUGAGGUGACGAGUGCGUACUUGUGCUAAUUGUUGAAAACCAUGUUUUCAUUAAGUAACUUUAAUUGUGUUUUCCCGUCCUAUUUAUUCUACUUGCACUUUUAAACAUGUUGUUAGCUUAGAGAAGCAUGUCUAAUUGACUUAAUUGCUUUAUUUGCUUUUACUUCUUUAUUUGGAUUACGUGAAGCAUGCUAGGUUAGAAUUACCCGUGUUACUUUGGUAUGAAGUAGAGUUUAUUUGAGUAUUCUUUAUGCCAUUGUUGUAUGUUUUACUUUGGGACUACAGGAUGGCAUCCCGGGAGAUCCCUGCAGGCAUUUAUGAUGUGAGCUGAAGUGCGGGAUACUGAGAGAUCCCCAGCACGUAUAUUGAGUAUACCAAGAGAUCCUCGAGAUACCAAAAGAUCUCUACCAUAUAUUGAGGAUGCCGAGAGAUCCUCGGGAUACCAGGAUAUCCCUAGCAUACAUUGGGGAUACCAAGAGAUCCCUAGCAUACAUUGAGGAUACCAAGAGAUCCUCAGGAUACCAAGAGAUCCCUAGCAUACAUUGAGGAUACCAAGAGAUACCUAGCAUACAUUGAGGAUACCAAGAGAUCCCUAGCAUACAUUGAGGAUACUAAGAGAUCCUCGACAUACAAAGAGAUCCCUAACAUACAUUGAGGAUCCUCGGCAUACAAAGAGAUCCCUAACAUACAUUGAGGAUACCAAGAGAUCCUCGGGAUACCAAGAGAUCUCAGGCAUAUAUUGAGGGCACUAAGAGAUCCUCGGGAUACUGAGGGAUCACCAGUUAUUAUCUUUGUGAAGAGUGGUAUUUCCUUGUGAGUGUUUUUGUCUCUGUUUCAGUUGUUGUUAUCCUUAUUAUCAUGUAUUAGUUCUUACUGUUAAUUUUCAACUAUAGUGCUUAUCUUAUUCUGUUAUACCUGAUAUUUCAUUUAAUUUCAGUAGGUCCCUGACCUUCCUCGUCACUACCCGACCGAGGUUAGGCGUGACACUUACUAAGUACCAUUGUGGUGUACUCAUGCUCUUUCUACGGAUGUUUUUAUGUGCAGAUCUAGGUAUCUCCAUUCGGACUUAUCACUUGUGAGAUGAGGCGCUUGUACAGACUCUGAGGUAAAUCUUCCGCGUCCACAGACCGAAGUGUCCCUUUCUACUCCCCCUUUUUGCAUUGGCCCUUCUGUACUUUCAUUUCCUUGUUAGAUAUUCUAGAGUUAGAUGCUUGUAGAAAAUUCAAGGCUUGUGAUCAUGAGAUUCAGGGUUUUGGGAGAUGUGUUUAGCUUUCGAGAGAUAUUAUUGUGUAUGCUAAGUGGCAUUUUAAGUUACUGUUUUAUUACACUACUUCGGUUUUAAAUUAUUUCUUUGCAAAUUGGUUUAUUUUUCCGCAUUGUUAGGCUUACCUAGUCGUAGAGAAUAGGUGCCGAUACGAUGGUUCAUGGAGAGCGAACCGGGGUCGUGACAAGUUGGUAUUAGAGCUCUAGGUUCAUAGGAGUCAUGAAUCACAAACCGAUUUAUUAGAGUCUCGUGGAUCAGUACGGAGAUGUCUGUACUUAUCUACGGGAGGCUAUGUAACUGUUAGGAAAAAUUCCACUUCAUUUGAAUUCCCUAUCGUGCGAGGUUCUUGACAUUACAAUCCUAAACCUCUAUAUUCCAUUCUCUCACAGAUGGUGAGGACACGUGCUACCAGAGAUGAUAAGACACCUGCACCCACUGCGAGAGCCGUCAGAAGUUGGGGCCGGGGUAGAGGCCGAGGAUGCACAUGCGGUGCAGCCAGAGCACCCGCGUGAGCUACCACCGAGGAGCCACCAGUAGUUCUAGCCAGAUCCCAAGCACCGAAUACGCCUACUGCUACUACUACUCCAGCACUUCAGGAGACAUUAGCACAGUUCCGAAGCAUGUUUGGUACAUUAGUUCAGGCGGGGCUAAUUCGGGUUGUACCAACUACUUCACAAAUCGGGGAAGGGACCUAGACUUCCGCCACCCUCACUUCAGAGUAGUGAGUUGUAAUUGGUCGGGUUCCAGGUGUCAUAGUGACACAGUCUAUGGUUCCAGUUCAGCUGGUGGUGAGAACCUCUCGCUGAGUAUAGGAUAAACGGGGUCAGGAGAGAGAGUAUAGGGAAGUGAGGAGACCUCGUAGACUGUAGAGACCCACUAGUCCUUAUUUUAGAGGAAUAGUACAUCAUGGUAGAGGUUUUGUGGGACAACCAUCUCAGUUUGGAUCUCAGAUUUCACAUAGUGUUUCAGGUGUUCAGGCGUCUUGGAGUACGCGUACCGCACAGUUCCCACUGCCAUUUCCUCAAAGAGCUUGUUUUGAGUGUGGUGACACACGCCAUCUAGUGAGGGAUUGCCCUAGACAUGGAAAUAGUGCACCUCUACAGACUUCUCAGCCACAGCGCGCUCCGCAGAGUUCUUAGUCUAUGAUUGUAGCACUAGUUGCUACCCCACCUGCUCAGCCAGCUAGAGGGGAAGGCCAAGCAAGAUAUUAUGCCCUUCCUGCCCCUACCGAGGCUUUUGCCUUCGAUUCUGUCAUCACAGGUAUUGUAGUGGUUUGUCAUAGAGGUGCAUCGGUUUUAUUCGAUCCAGGAUCCACUUAUGUGUCUUCUUAUUUUGCUAAGUAUUUGGGUGUACCUCGGGAUUCUUUGAGUUCCCAUAUUUAUGUUUCUACUCCUAUGGGAGAUUCUCUUGUUGUGGACUGCAUUUAUCGGUCGUAUUUGGUUGCUCUUAGUGGUUUUGAGACUAGACCCAAUUUAUUAUUGCUCAGCAUGGUAGAUUUUGAUAUUAUCUUGGGCAUGGACUGGUUGUCGCCCCAUUAUGCUAUUCUUGAUUGUCACACCAAAAUUAUGACGCUGGCUAUGCCAAGUGUAAUGCAUGUUGAGUGGAGGGGUACUUUAGGUCACACUCCCAGUAGAGUUAUAUCUUUCCUUAAGGCUCAGCGAAUGGUUGAGAAGGGGUGUGACGUGUAUUUAGCUAAUGUCAGAGAUGUCAAUAUUGAUACCCCAUAAGUUGAUUCAGUCCUAGUAGUACGGGAUUUUCCCGAUUUGUUUCCCGAUCUGAGUUGAAGGAUCAGUUACAGGAAUUGCUUGAUAAGGGUUUUAUUCGGCCUAGUGUAUCACCUUGGGGUGCUUCUUUCUUGUUUGUGAAGAAAAAGUAUAGUUCUAUGCGUAUGUGUAUUGAUUAUCGCCAGUUGAAUAAGGUUACAGUGAAGAACCGUUAUCCUUUGCCUCGUAUUGAUGAUCUAUUUGACCAGCUUUAGGGCGCACGAGUGUUUUCUAAGAUUGACUUGCGCUCAGGUUACCAUCAGUUGAAGAUUCGGGAGCCAGAUAUCCCGAAAACUGCUUUCAGGACUCGAUAUGGUCAUUACGAGUUCCUUGUUAUGUCGUUUGGGCUGACUAAUGCCCCAACAGCCUUUUUGCAUUUGAUGCACAGUGUGUUCCGGCCGUAUCUUAACUCGUUAAUCAUUGUCUUUAUUGAUGAUAUUUUGGUGUAUUCCCGGAGUCAGGAAGAUCAUGAGCAGCACCUGAGGACAGUGCUUCAGACCUCGAGAGAAAAGAAAUUACAUGCAAAGUUCUCGAAAUGUGAGUUUUGGUUGAAUUCUGUGGUUUUCUUGGGUCAUGUGGUAUCGAGUGAGGGUAUACAAGUGGAUCUGAAGAAAGUAGAGGUGGUGCAUAUUUGGCCCAGACCAUCCUCAGCUACAGAGAUCGGUAGUUUCCUUGGCUUAGCGGGUUACUACCGCCGUUUGGUGGAGGGGUUUUCAUCGAUUGCUUCCCCAAUGACCAGACUGACCCAGAAGGGGUGCUACGUUCCAGUUGAUGGAAGAGUGUGAGGCGAGCUUUCAGAAGCUCAAGACAGCUUUGACUACAACCCCAGUUUUGAUAUUGCCUAUAGGUUCGGGGUCUUAUACCAUUUAUUGUGAUGCCUCGAUGAUUGGCCUUGGGGUAGUUUUGAUGCAGGACGUUAGGGUGAUUACCUAUGCAUCCAAACAGUUAAAGGUUCAUGAAAAGAAUUAUCCUAUCCUCGACCUUGAGGUUGCUGCCGUUGUUCACACCUUAAAGAUCUGGCGUCAUUAUUUGUACGGUGUGCCUUGUGAGAUUUAUGCUGAUCAUCAGAGCUUGCAACACCUGUUCAAGCAAAAAAGAUCUAAAUUUGUGCUAGAGAAGGUGGUUAGAGUUGCUAAAGGACUAUGAUAUCACUAUUUUGUAUCACCCGGGCAAGGCCAAUGUCGUGGCCGAAGCUUUGAGUCACCGGAAAGAGAGUUUGGGUGGCGAUGGAUGUUCUGGCCUUAGCCAUCUAGUUCAUGAGAUUGGACCUUUCAGAGCCAGUCGGGUUCCAGCUUGCGUGGUUUCUCAGUCUUCAUUAUUUGAUUGUAUCAGGGAGCGUCAAUAUGAUGACCCUUAUUUGUUUGUCCUCAAAGAUAUGUGUCUAUUGGUGAUGACGGGGUAUUGAGGAUUCAGGGUCGGAUUUGUGUGCCCAAUGUUGAUGGGCUUCGGGAGUUGAUUCUAGAGGAGGCCCAUAGUUCGCGGUAUUCCAUUCAUCCGGGUGCCGCGAAGAUGUAUCAGGAUUUGAGACAGCACUAUUGGUGGAGGCGGAUGAAGAAAAAUAUAGUUGGAUUUGUAGCUCGGUGCCUUAACUAUCAGCAGAUGAAGUAUGAGCAUCAGAGUAUGGGUGGGUUACUUCAGCAGAUAGAGAUUCUGGACUGGAAGUGGGAGCGUAUCAUUAUAGACUUUGUAGUUGGGCUCCCACGAACUUUGAGAAAGUUCGAUGCUAUUUGGGUGAUUGUUGAUUGGCUGACCAAGACCACACACUUUAUUCCUGUGUGUACUACUUAUUCUCUGGAGCGGUUGGCGGAGAUUUAUAUCUGGGAGAUUGUUCGUCUGCAUGGUAUUCCAGUUUCCAUCAUUUCGGAUAGAGGUAAUCAGUUCACAUCAUGGUUCUGGAGGGCCAUUUAGCAUGAGUUGGGUACUCGGGUGGAGUUGAGUAGAGCAUUUCACCUUCAGACGAACAAACACUCCGAGUGCACUAUUCAGAUUCUUGAGGAUAUUUUCCGUGCAUGUGUGAUUGAAUUUGGAGGGUCUUGGUAUCAGUUCUUGCCAUUGGUGGAGUUUGCUUACAACAACAGUUAUCAGUCCAGUAUUUACAUGGCACCGUAUGAGGCUUUAUAUGGUAGGCGGUGUAGAUCUUCGGUAGGUUGGUUUGAGCCAAGCGAGACUAUAUUAUUGGGCACAGACUUGGUUCAGGAUUCUUUGGAGAAGGUUAAAGUGAUUCAGGAUAGACUCCGUAUAGCCCAAUCCAUACAGAAGAGGUAUGCAUACCGGAAGGUUCGUGAUGUUUCAUAUAUGGUAGGUGAGUGGGAAGGGCGUUAUGAAAUUUGGGAAUAAAGGUAAGUUGAGUCCGAGGUUUAUUGGUUCUUUUGAUAUAUUGAAACGUGUUGGGGAGGUUGCUUAUGAGCUUGUCUUACCUCCCAGCAUGGUAGGAGUUCAUCUGGUAUUUCAUGUUUCGAUGCUCCGGAGGUGUCACGGUGAUCAUUCGCAUGUGUUGGAUCUCAGUUUAGUCUAGUUGGACAAGGAUCUAUCUUAUGUUAAGGAGCAAGUGGCGAUAUUGGACAGGCAAGUUCGAAAGCUGAGGUCAAGAACAUUGCAUCAGUAAAGGUUUAGUGGCGGGGUCAGCCCGUCGAGGAGGCAACCUAGGAAAUCGAGCAGGGUAUGUGCAGCCAUUACCCUCAUCUUUUUACUACUUCAGGUGUGUCUCUAUGCUCGUUCAAGGACGAACAAAUGUUUAAAUGUAGGAGGAUGUGACGACCCGACUGGUCGUCAUAAGAAUUUAUGCCCUGAUCCCCUAUUAACUGCUCUCCUCGUGCUUGUUCCUACUUUUGUGAGUUGCUGGGAGGAAUUGUUUGGAGUUUCGGAGAGUUUUGGGACACUUAGUCCAUAAAUGAGAGCUUUAGUUUUGAAAGUUUGACCGUAGUCGGAACAGUGUAAAGAUGGCCUCGGAAUGUAAUUAUGAUGGUUUCGUUAGCUCCGUUGGGUGAUUUGGGGUUUAGGAGCGUGUUUGGAUUGUGUUUUGGAGGUCCGUAGCUAAUUAGGAUUGAAAUGUCGAAAGUUGAAUUUUUGAAGUUUCCGGUUUGAUAGUGAGAUUUUGAUCUGAGGCUCAGAAUGGAAUUCUGGAAGUUGGAGUAGCUCCGUAAUGUUGAAUGUGACAUGUGUGCAACAUUUUAGGUCAUUCAGAUGAGGUUUGAUAGACUUUUUUAUUGAAAGCAUAUAUGAGAGUUUUUGAAGUUCUUAGGCUUGAAUCUUAUGCUAAUUGGUUGAUUCGAUGUUGUUUGAGGUAUUUUGGAGAUUUGUAUAAGUUUAGAUAGUGGUAUAUGACUUGUCUGUGCUUUUUGUUGAGGUCCCGGGGGCCUCGAGAUGAUUUCGGAUGGUUAACGGGGAGUUGGAACUUGGAGUUUGCAGCUGAAGUUCUUUGGGCUGCUGUCAUAACCGCAUUUGCGGUUCGAAGGCUGCAGAUGCGACUCCCGCAGAUGCAGAAUUCAUCUGCAGAAGCGGCCAUGUGAGGAAAGGCGAAGAGCCUCAGGUGCGGAUAAGUUCACGCACCUGCGUGACCGCAGAUGCGGUGAACAGGUCGUAGGUGCAGACUUGGGGAAUUAAUGAGUUUUGGCAGGUGCGGUCAUUCUUCCGCAGAAGCGGAAUUGCUGAGCAGGAAAUAGGAACUUCGAAUAUUUGGUUUCAGAAGUUGGAAAAAAAUAUUUGCAGCUCGGGAGAGGGCGAUUUUGGGAGGAAUUUUAAGAGGAAAACAAUGGGUAAUAAUUCCUUAACCCUUUCUAGUUGUAUUCCAUUAAUCUAUUGUUACUGUUGUCAUUUAAUUUCGGAUUUGAGAUGAAAAUUUGGGAAAAAUUGGAAGAAAGUUCUUUAACCUAGAAUUCAAUUUUUGAUUGCGAGUUUGACCUUGGAUUUGGAUAAUUUUGGUAUGCAUGAACUCAUGAGAGUAUGAGGAUUCUGAAAAUAUUAAUUUUACCUGAUUUCGAGACGUGGGCCUGAGGGGCGUUUUGGUCAUCUUACCUAAUUUCGCGUAUUAGCCUAGAAUUUAUUUGUAAAAUCAGUUACUUGAAGUUUUAUUUACAUUAUGCAAUUGAAUUGAAUAGAUUUGGGUAAUUUGGAGUCGAGUACUCGUGGCAAGAACGUGGUUUUGGGUUGAUUUUGAGUCAGUUCGAGGUAAGUAGCUUACCUAACCUUGUGUGGGGUCUUUUCCCCUUAGGAUUGGUAUUGUGAUAAUUGAAAUGGCUUGUAUGUGAGGUUUUUUCCCUUCCUAUUUAUUCUACUUGCACUUUUAAACCUACGGUUAGCUUAUAGAAGCAUGUGUAAUUGAUUUAAUUGCUUUAUUUACUUUAACUGCCUUAUUAGGAUUACGUGAAGCAUUCUAGGUUAGAAUUGUCUGUUUUACUUUGGUAUGAAGUUGAGUUUAUUUGAGUAUUCCUUGUGCCAUUGUUGUGUGUUUUACUUUGGGACUACGAGAUGGCAUCCCGGGAGAUCUCCUGUACGCAUUUAUGAUAUGAUCUGAAGUGCGGGAUACCGAGAGAACCCUAGCAAGUAUAUUGAGUAUACCAAGAGAUCCUCGGGAUACAAAGAGAUCCCUAGCAUAUAUUGAGGAUACCGAGAGAUCCUCGGGAUACCAAGAGAUCCUUAGCAUGCAUUGAGGAUACCAAGAGAUCCUCGAGAUACCAAGAGAUCCCUAACAUAUAUUGAGGAUACCAAGAGAUCCCUGGCAUAUUUUGAGGGUACUAAGAGAUCCUCGGGAUACUGAGAGAUCCCCGGUUAUUAUCUUCGUAAAGAGGGGUAUUUCCUUGUGAUUGUUUUUGUCUCUGUUUCAGUUAUUAUUAUCUUUAUUAUCUUGUAUUAAUUCUUACUGUUAGUUUUCAACUAUACUGCUUAUCUUAUUCUGUUAUACCUGAUAUUUUAUUUAAUCUUAGUAGGGCCCUGACCUUCCUCAUCACUACCCGACCGAUGUUAGGCUUGGCAUUUACUGAGUACCGUUGUGGUGUACUCAUGCCCUUUCUAUGCAUGUUUUUCAUGUGCGGAUCCCGGUACCUCCAUUCGGACGUUUCACUCGUGAGAUGAGGUGCUUGUAGAGUCUACGAGAUAUAUCUGCCCCGUCCACAGACCGAAGAGUCCCUUUCUACUCCCCCUUUUUGCAGUGGCCCUUUUGUACUUUCAUUUCCUUGUUAGAUAUUUUAGAGUUAGAUAUUCUAGAGUUAGAUGCUUGUAGAAAAUUCAAGGCUUGUGAUCAUGAGAUUCCGGGUUUUGGGAGAUAUGUUUAGCUUUCGAGAGUUAUUAUUGUGUAUGCCAAGCGGCACUUUAAAUUACUAUUUUAUUUCACUACUUCGGUUUUAAAUUAUUUCUUCCGCAAAUUGGUUUAUUUUUCCGCAUUGUUAGUCUUACCUAGUCGUAGAGACUAGGUGUCGUCACAAUGGUUUGCGGAGGGCGAACCACGGUCGUGACAGUAAGCCAGGUCUAUAACACAACCCCAGGUUUAAUCUUAGAAAAACAUAACCUUAUGUCGGAUCCCUAGUAGGAACAUUUAUUUGCAUCACGUGCAUUUGACCUUGGGGACUCAACACAGGAGUUGGGUCCGUCUAGGACAGGUGUACCCAAAAUUAAAAAACCAUCCUGAUGCAUCUUACGUGCUACUUGCGCAUUUGCUUUAUUCGGCUUGCAUGUUGACCGGCUUCUAGAAUAGGGAAAGGAAAAAAAAUAAAAAUAAAAAAAACCAAGAGUGAGGUAGGUAUUUUAAAAUUCUGAAACUCUUCCGAAAUUCUGAAGGAAAAAAAAAAAGAAAAAAGAAAAUUCAUUUCAAAAUGAGCCCAAAAUCUUCAAGUACCAUGUUUACUUGUUCCUUCAAAUUGACCAAACUACGUGGGUCUGAUUCACACCGGAUAUGAGAUACGUAGGCAAAUCUCAUCGGUUGCGAACCCAAUUUUCAAAAAUCCAAAAAUAUUUUCCUUUAGUUCCUUUUUUAGAAAUCUUUCCUUAGAUAAUUCAAAAAAGAAGUUUUUAAAACACAAAAAAAUAGUUUCCUUCUUUCUGAAGUCUUUCAUAAAAAACAAAGAAAUAAAAACAAAAUCAAUCAAAAAUCAAAAUCAAAAAUACGUGUUUCCUUCAUUUUGAAGUAUUUUUUUCCAAAAAAAAAGAAACAAAAAUCCAAAAAAUACUCUUUUAUUUUUUAGAAGUCUUUCUUUUGUAAUUGUCCAUACGAAUUUGAGAAAUAAAAGUCCAAAAAUAUUUUCUCUUUCCUUUAAAAAAUUUCCUUGUUUAAAAGUCUUUCUUUCAAAAAACAAUUAAAAAAAAAAUGAAGUCUAAAAAUAUUUUCAUUUUUCUUUAGAUGUACUUUUGUAAAUUUAAAAACAAAAAAACUCAGAAAUCCAAAAUAUUUUCUUAUAAGUCCCUAUUUCGAAAAUUAAGAGGCAACACCCAAAUUCCAAAACAUAUUUUCUUUCUUCUUUAGAAAUAGAGAAAACAAUUGAAAAUUCAAACAAAAAUAUUUUUCUUUUACUUUUGAAAUUCCCAAAGUUCAAAUAAAAAAAAAAGGAAUUUUUAGAAGUCUUUCUUUCAAAAAAUUUUUAAAAAAAAUCGGAGAAAAAAAUAUUUCCUUUCUUCUUUAAAAGCAUUUCUUUCGAAAAUUCCAAAAAAAAAAGAAAUUGAAAAGAAAAGAUGUUCCUAUGUCUCAAAGCUUUCAUGAUCUGAGUGUUAUUGAGAAAAAGAAAAAAAGAGUUACCUUAGUUACUCCAUUCUUAAUCUUCUUGAACUAUGUAAAGAUCUGAUUCAUGCGGUGUCAUGAUACGUAGGCAAUCCCCAUCGGAUUCGAUCAUAUCCAUAAAAUAAAUUGAGUGAAAAAUAAACUGAAAAAAGAAAUUGAAAAAAAAGAGUGACAUAAAAUAAAAGAGUGACAAAAAAUAGAAAAAGAAAAGAGAGUACUAAAAAAAUGAGCGAUAGAAACGAAACGAAAAAAAACAAGAGUGAUUAAGAGGCAGAAGUAAAAGAAAAAAGGUACAUACUGAAAGGGUUAGUUAAGGCCGGGAUGAAACAUGCAACUGUUCAAAUACAUGGUAGAAGCAUUUAACUCUUAGGUGCAUUGCAUCACAACGUGUGAUUUUCUAUAUGUUAAAUGACUCAAAACUAACAGGUUGUUGGGUGUGCAAAUUAGCCAGGUUCAGUUCAGGUGGAUGGUUUUGUUGGUAUCCGGUGGCCCACCCUUACUUCACAAGAUCCAAAGGAAAGGUUCCUAUGGCCUCUGAAAGCCAUCUACAAAUCAUCGAUCCCGAGGAUAGCCCAGUACCGACUAUUCCACAACUAGAAUCAGCAGCUAUUGAAGAGAAUAGGAUGUUCCUUCUCCACAUAUUGGAAAUGUGGGACACCUGGUCUAAUGGUAGGGAACCGCCAAAUGCAAUCCCCGGGUUACCUGAGUGGAUCCUCAGGUCAAGUGAGGAUACCAAUGCCCUUGUGCCCUACCCGCUCAUCCCAUGUGGGCACAGUCCAACGAUGUCCAAUAAUCCUGGCAUACCUUCUACAGUUCGCCCCUAGGCACCGACUUUAAGGGCACCACCUCCAAUGUUCAUCUUUCAGGGUCCACAACUUCAACUAGAAAUAACAUAUGUUUCCCCGUACUCCUUCACCCAACCUCUGCAAUAUGAUCUCUCGGUAGAGCAAGAAAAGGUUGUUAAAAAUCCAGAGCAAGAGGAAAUGGCUCGGAAGAUGAAGAGCCUGCAACAAAGCCUGAAAAAUGUGCAAGGUAUGAGUGGCCAAAAGAGUGUCUCAUACUCUGACCUCUGUAUGUUUUCCCAUGUCCACUUGCCAGUUGGCUUCAAGAUGCCAAAAUUUGACAAAUACGACGGGCAUAGAGACCCGGUCGCUCAUCUGAAACAAUAUUGUAACCAGUUGAGGGGUGCUGGUGGAAAAGAGGAGCUACUAAUGGCCUAUUUUGGGGAAAUACUCACCGGAAUCGCUUCUGAGUGGUAUACAGAUCAAGAAAUUACUCAAUGGCACAUGUGGGACGAUAUGGCCCGAGAUUUUGUCCGCCUGUUCAAAUAUAAUACGGACAUCGCUCCCGACAGAAACUCUUUGUCCAAUUUGAAAAAGAAAACCGCGGAAAGCUUCUGCGAAUAUGGCGUCAAAUGGUGUGAGCAAGCUGUCAGGGUAAAGCUACCAAUGGACAAAAUUGAAAUGAUCACGGUCUUUCUGCAGGCCCAAGAGGCUGACUAAUUCCAGAACACGAUAUCUUAUAUGUUUAAGUCGUUCACUAAGGCUAUCAAAAUUGGGGAAAUGGUUGAAAACAGUUUAAAACAGGUCGAAUCUUGAGUCGUGCCGCUUUUAAGGCCACAUUACAGUCUACUCAGAUUGGUUCGUAGUGUUUGAUGAACAUAAAUGGGAGUGAAGAGGGAUCCAUGAUGGUUUCAAGCUCGAGGGGGGCCCCGUAGGUCAUUCAGACAAUCAUAUAGGCCUCCUACCAUCCCACCACACUAUUAUCCCCUUCAAGAUGCUACUUAUGCCGUGGAACCGCCUCCCUAUGCGGUGAUGAAUGCGCAACUUUACCCGGGGCCACAACAUUAUCCACAAAACCGAGCUCCACCUCCCAGGAAUGCCCAUCCUUACCAAGCUCCAUAUAAUCCUCAACCAAAUGAUCCUCAAUACAAUCCUCGCCUAAUAGAGCCUUUCAGAAAGAAUCAAUUCACCCUUAUUGGUGAAUCGUAUUCAAGCUUGUUCCAAAAACUAAUCAGGCUAAAUCUAUUGUAGCCUGUGGCAUCGAACUGGGCGAACCCCGAGUCCCCCUCGCACCGAGCUGAUGCUAUAUGUGAAUACCAAUAUGGAGUAGUAGGACAUAGUACAGAGGACUGUUGGACUCUCAAAAGGGCUUUUGAUGAAUUGAUUGAAGAUAAAAGAAUCGUUUUUCGGGAUAAAGCUCCUAAUGUGAUGAACAAUAUGUUACUUGACCACAACAUCGGGCCAAUAGUCGGAAUGAUUUGUGAAGCUGAGGAAUUUGAUCCGGCACUGAAGGCCAUUGCAGACAUUGCCGAGAUAGAAGAAAAGCCAAAAAUGGUCGCCAAGCAUGAAAGUUCCCCAUAAGACGGGAGUUUUAGUAGCCAGUCUUGCUUUCCUUUCUGUGUCCGGAUUAUCUUUCAGGGUGUGAUUCGGAUGUUUUACCUUAUUGUCUUACUUUCCGAUGUAAACUCUUUUAUCUUCAAAAAAUCGAAAAAAAAUCAAAUGAAAUUAAUAUUUCAUUGUUGAGGAAUGUCUGUUUUCUUAAUAUUUUCACUUUUCUUAUUUCUUUUUAAAUCUGUUAAAUGCAGAUUUCAAUAACAUGACAUGCUUGCAGACUUCAUGCCCAGAUCCUGAAAUGCUGUCAGACCUCGAAAUAAUGAAUCAAGAAGUUGAUUGCAAUGAAAAUAGGUUUAAGGAAAUAAAACAAAGAAUCGGAACAGCUAAAGGAAAAUUGGCUUCAGUUUGGAAAGGUCCAUACAUUGCAACAAGAGUACUGCCAAAAUAGUGCGUUGUACUUGGGACACAUCGAAGGAAAUGUCCCAGAAACAACUGGCAAUGCAAAUACAGUCAAAAGGUACUCUGUUGGAUCCUCUAUAUAGCAUUAAUGUUCUCUAGUUGGGAUAAAGAAGGCUUUCUUUCUCAUUGUCCAAAUAUUCAACAUUUUGCAAACCCUUUGAGCCGGCUCCCAUUCUUUGAUUAUUAUCUUUGGAACCUGGAAGUUAUUAUUAUUUGACGACCUGACCAGUCUUAUCAUGAGUAACCGCUUUGUUUCCCCCAUUUAUGCUUCUUAUUGCUUUGUUUAUCGGUUAUAUAUGUGAUCGGGUUGGUUGGCUCGGGUUCGAAGAGGUUGUUGAGAAGGUUUGAGACACUUAGUCUCUUUUGAGUAAGUUUAAGUCGGAAAAGUCAACUGGAUGUUGACUUAUGUGUUAGAGGGCUCGGAUGUGAGUUCCGAUGAUUCGGAUAGCUUCGGGAGGUUAUUUGGGACUUAGGAGCGUGAUCAUAAUAUAUUUUGGAGGUCCGGAGUAGAUUUAGGCUUGAAAUGGCGAAAUUGGAUUUUUGGCAUUUUCCGAAUGAUAGGUGAGAUUUUGAUAUAGGGGUCGGAAUGGAAUUCUGAGAGUUUUAGUAGUUCCAUUAUGUCAUUUGGGAUGUGUGUGCAAAAUUUCAGUUCAUUCGGACAUGGUUUGUUAGAGUUUUUGAUCAAAAGCAUAAUUUAGAAAAUUUUGGAAUUCUUAGGCUUGAAUCCGAUGCGAAUUUGGUGCUUUGAUGUUGUUUUGAGCGUUCCGAAGGUUGCAACAAGAUUGAAUGAUGUUAUGGAAUAUGUUUGCAUGUUUGAUUGAGGUCUUGGAGGCCUCGGGUGGUCAAUCGGACCAUUUCAUGUUUUGGAAAAAUGUAGAAAACUGUUGUUCAGUGUUGUAGACAAAUGACCUUCGCGUUCACGAGGGAGGUUCCGUAUUCGCGAUGGGCUGGGAUCUUGUCCAUUGCAUUCGUGAGGUAUCAGACACGUUCACAUAGAGGAAGUUGAGCAGCUAGGGUUCAGGUAGAAUUGUUCUUCGCAUUUGCGGUGAGUAAGGGUGCUAAGCCUUCGCGUUCACGAGCUGAGUGUCGCGAUCGCGAUGAAGGAACUUUGGUCAAAGUAAGUUUGUGCUUAACAAAUACGAGGUGUUGAUCGCGUUCGCAAAGAAGGAUUUGAGGCCUGGGCAGAACGUUUAAAUAGCCAUUUGGUCCGUGAUUUUCGGUUAAGCGAUUUUGGAGCUUUUUUAAGAUGAUUUAAGAGGGAUUCAAGGGGAAACACUUGGAGGUAAGAUGUAUGGACUUAAUACUCGAUUCUAAUGUGAUUUCUAUCUAAUUUAUCAUGGAAUUUAAGCCCAAUAUUGAAGAACUAGGGAUUGUAAUUGGAGACCUAGAAUUUGGGACUUAAGGGGUCGUUUGUGGUUGGAUUUUGAUGCUUUUGGUAUGAAUGAACUCGGGGAGUGAUAAGGAGUCUAUUGAGGUAAAUUUUAUCGAAAUCCGAGACGUGGGCCCGGUGUCGGGUUUGGUGAAUUUCGGGAUUUGUGUUGUACUUUUAUUUCUUUCGAGUCGACAUUGUUCCCUUAGCAUAUUUUGAUGGUUUUGCACUGAUUUUGGUUAGAUUUGGCGCAUCUGGAGCCCGAUUCGAGGGCAAAGGCAUCGCGAGCUAGAGAUUUUGACCAGAUAGAGGUGAGUAAUGAUUAUAAAUGUUGUCCUGAGGGUAUGAAACCCCAUAAUGCACAUCGUUGUGCUAUAUUGAGGUGACACACAUGCUAGAUGACGAGUAUGGGGCCAUGCACUAUUGGGGAUUGUGACUUAGUCCGUCCUAAAUGAUUGUUUUACCGCUUAUUUGACUGAAAAUUGUUCCCUAUCAUCAUGUUUUGGGCUGAAUGCCAUAUUUGGGCCUCACGCCAAUUAUUUGAACCCUCAGGGGGAUUUUUGAUGAUAUUCCUCACUAUUUUGACUUUAUACUUGUACUCAUUCAUGCUAUAUUCUACUAUUUUCAUAACUCAGCCAUGUUUACUCUGUUUUAACACUUAAAAUAUAUAUUAAAUAAUAUUUUGGGAUGAGUAUCAUGUUUUACUGUUGCCCGAGUGUCUUAUGAGAUUCUGACUGAGUAAGGCCGAGGGACUAUGUUGUGAGGAAACACUGAUCUACGAUUUAGGAGGCCGAGGGUCUGAGAUUGUACGCCACAAGGUGGCUCUUUGAUAUGAGGUCGAGAUCCUACUGAUUAUGCCACGAGAUGGCUUGAUAUGCGCUUGGGCUAUAAGGGGCCCCUCCAAGAGUCUACACACCCCCAGUGAGCGCAGUAACACAUUGAGAUAUGAGAUAUAGCCCGAGGGGCUGAUUUUGUUGGUAUUGUGCCCGAGGGGCGGUUCCUUAUGUUUUUAUCCUUUCUAAUUGCCUAUCAUUCAUUUGCUUAAUUGUUAAAAAGGUAUUUUAAAGAAGCUUAAAUUGAACUAAGGUGACAUUACAUGUUUUCACUAUUUCACUGCUUUUGCUGGCUUUUACUGCUUCUUUAUAGCGUAUUGAUGUGCCUUUACGUGAUUUCUUAUCGCUCAAUUUUCAUUUGUUAUUAUUACUCACUGAGUUGGAGUAUUCACUUUACUCUCUGCACCCAUGUGUAGAUUCAGGCGCAUCAGGUCCUGCUUGCGAGGGUUGAGAGCUAUCCAGCAGAUCCUGAAGAUUCACUAGGUAGCUGCUCGUCGUUCGCAGCCCAGUGCUUCUUACUCUAUCUUAUUUUCUCCUAUUUUUAGUUAUGUAAUAGUGGUGUAGGCUCUUUUAGACUUGUAGUUUUGAUGAUAGAUGCUCAUGACUAGUGACACUCCGAUUUCGGGCUAUGUCUAUUCUGCAACUGUAUUAGUUACCUUAUUUUGGGAUUUUUAUAAUUAUGUUAAAGACUUAGUUGUAUUACUUAAUUGCUUAAAAAUGCAUCGGGAAUGUGUCGGCUGGCCUGUCUACAUGAGAGGCGCCAUCAUGACAGAGUUUGGGUUUAAGGUCAUGACAAGUUGGUACCAAAGCCUAGGUUACAUAGGUCUCACGAGUCAUGAGCAGGUUUAGUAGAGUCUUGCGGAUCGGCAAGGAGACGUCUGUAUUUGUCCUCAAAAGGCCGUAGAACCUUUAGGAAAACUUCAUAUCCUUGAAAUUCUUGUCGUGCAAAUUUGUUGAUACGAGUACUAAACUUUUGUUAUUUUAUUCUCUCACCGAUGGUGAGUACACGCACUACCGAUUUGGAUGGACGACCACUAGUACCACUAGCUGUGGCCAUUAGAGGUCAAGGAUGUAGUCACGGUCGCGGUAGGGGCAGGGGUGUGGCCUGCACAUCAGCUAGGGCAGCACCUGCAGAUCCACCAACCGCCCCAGUUCAGGAUCAAGUCCCAGUUGUGGACGCUCCAGCAGCACCAGCUCAGGCACCAGCUAUGCCCAUUGUGAUUCCGGGCUUCAGGAGGCCUUGGCUCAGAUUUUGUCAGUUUGCACUGGCCUAGCACAGGCGGUCUCAAUUACUACAACCGCAGCUACUUCUCAAGUCGGGGAAGGCAAUAAGACUUUCGCCGCUCGUACACCUGAGCAGGUCGUGUAGGGACUUCAGACAACGGGGGUGCAUCCAGCCCAACUGGUUGCAGCUUCUCAGGGCUAUGUAGCUCCUUCCAUGCUAGAGGACAAGCAAUGUAGGUUGGAGAGGUUUGGUAGACUUCAGCCUCCGACUUUCAAUGGUGUAAAGGGCAAGAAUGCCCAGGGUUUCUUGGACAAGUGUCAAUAGAUUCUUCGCACAACGGGUAUUGUGGAGACCAGUGGGUUCGCUUUCACUACUUUUUAGUUUUUUGGAGCUGCCUUCACUUGGUGGGAGGCGUAUGAGAGGCGUAGGCCUGUUGGUGCAGCACCCCUUACCUAGCAACAGUUCUCCGUUCUCUUUUUGGAGAAGUAUGUGCCGCAGUCUCACAGAGAGGAGCUGCAUAGGCAAUUUGAGUGGUUGCAUCAGGGAGAAAUGAUUGUGAUGCACUAAGAGAUAAGGUUCUCCGAGUUAGCUCGUCAUCCUAUUUGGUUGGUUCUGACAUAUAGAGAGAGGAUUAGGAGGUUCGCUGAUGGCCUCAAUUAUCAUCUUCGUAUUCUCAAGACCAGGGAGAAGGUGUCUGGCAUUACUUUUGAGGAGGUUGUAGACAUUGCUCAAGAGAUUGAGUCAGUUCACUGCCAGGAGCGAGAUGAGAGGGAGGCCAAGAGGCCUCGAGGAUCUGGUAGUUAUGGUGGUGCUCCUUCGAGUGGUUAGUUUAAGCAUGGCAGAGGUUGUCCAUUCAGGCAUGCUCAGCCAGCCCACCCAGGUUAUCGUGGGGCGUCAUCGGGUCAUGGUUCUCACAGUUCUCAUCAGGGACAGUCAUCACUUAGUGCCCUUCAAGCUCAAAGUUCGUGCCAUGCUCCAUCAGUUAAGGGCUCUUCUAUGCCAGGUGCAUCUGCUAGUCAUUCUGGUGCUAGGGGUUCCCUUCAAUCUAUGUCUCUAGCACUCGGGAGUUGCUAUGAGUAUAGAGAGACGGGUCAUAUGUGGAGGUAGUGUCCUUGUCAUCUUGCGGGUUCAUCUCAGCAGAGGAGUUAGCCAUCGGCUUCAGCACCAGUUACUUCACCACCACCCGCCCAGCUAGCUAGAGGUGGAGGUCAGUCAACUAGGGUCACCCUAGAGGGGGAGGUCGAUCAGGUGGCGGUCAGGCCCCGUUUCUAUGCACUUCCAGCUAGACCCAAUGUUANNNNNNNNNNNNNNNNNNNNNNNNNNNNNNNNNNNNNNNNNNNNNNNNNNNNNNNNNNNNNNNNNNNNNNNNNNNNNNNNNNNNNNNNNNNNNNNNNNNNNNNNNNNNNNNNNNNNNNNNNNNNNNNNNNNNNNNNNNNNNNNNNNNNNNNNNNNNNNNNNNNNNNNNNNNNNNNNNNNNNNNNNNNNNNNNNNNNNNNNNNNNNNNNNNNNNNNNNNNNNNNNNNNNNNNNNNNNNNNNNNNNNNNNNNNNNNNNNNNNNNNNNNNNNNNNNNNNNNNNNNNNNNNNNNNNNNNNNNNNNNNNNNNNNNNNNNNNNNNNNNNNNNNNNNNNNNNNNNNNNNNNNNNNNNNNNNNNNNNNNNNNNNNNNNNNNNNNNNNNNNNNNNNNNNNNNNNNNNNNNNNNNNNNNNNNNNNNNNNNNNNNNNNNNNNNNNNNNNNNNNNNNNNNNNNNNNNNNNNNNNNNNNNNNNNNNNNNNNNNNNNNNNNNNNNNNNNNNNNNNNNNNNNNNNNNNNNNNNNNNNNNNNNNNNNNNNNNNNNNNNNNNNNNNNNNNNNNNNNNNNNNNNNNNNNNNNNNNNNNNNNNNNNNNNNNNNNNNNNNNNNNNNNNNNNNNNNNNNNNNNNNNNNNNNNNNNNNNNNNNNNNNNNNNNNNNNNNNNNNNNNNNNNNNNNNNNNNNNNNNNNNNNNNNNNNNNNNNNNNNNNNNNNNNNNNNNNNNNNNNNNNNNNNNNNNNNNNNNNNNNNNNNNNNNNNNNNNNNNNNNNNNNNNNNNNNNNNNNNNNNNNNNNNNNNNNNNNNNNNNNNNNNNNNNNNNNNNNNNNNNNNNNNNNNNNNNNNNCUUAUGUGUCAUCAUACUUUGCUCAUUAUUUUGAUAUGCCCCGUGAGUCUCUUGUUUCACCUGUUCAUGUAUCUACUUCGGUAGGCGAUACUAUUGUUGUAGACCGUGUGUACCGGCCGUGUGUGGUGACUAUUUGGGGUCUGGAGACCCAAGUGGAUCUUUUAUUAUUGUGUAUGGUGGAUUUCGAUGUUAUAUUGGGCAUGGAUUGGCUAUCUCCAGGUGUGCCACAAAUUGAGUGGCGAGGUUUGACUGAUUAUGUUCCCUGUAGGGUAAUCUCAUUCUUGACGGCCCAGCGUAUGGUUGGGAAGGGUUGUCUUUUGUAUCUAGCCUUUGUGAGGGAUGUCUGUGCAGAGACUCCCAGUAUUGAUUCUGUCCCAGUUGUGAGGGAGUUUCCCGAUGUGUUUCCUGCAGACCUGUCGGGCAUGCCACCGGACAUGGAUAUUGAUUUUGGUAUAGACCUGGUGUCGAGCACUCAGCCCAUUUCUCUUCUGUAGUAUCGUAUGGCACCAACAAAGUUAAAGGAGUUAAAGGAGCAGCUCUAGUAACUCCUUGAUAAGGGGUUCAUUAGGCCUAGUGUGUCACCUUGGGGUGCGCCGGUUCUAUUUGUGAAAAAGAAGGAUGGCACUACAAGGAUGUGUAUUGAAUAUAGGUAGUUGAACAAAGUAACAAUUAUGAAAAAGUAUCCUUUGCCUCGCAUUGAUGAUUUAUUCGACAGCUUUAGGGAGCGAGGGUGUUCUCCAAGAUUGAUCUUCGUUCAGGUUAUCACCAAUUGAAGAUCAGGGAAUCGGAUAUUCUUAAGACAGCUUUCAGGACCCGAUAUGGUCAUUAUGAGUUCUUGGUGAUGUAUUUCGGACUGACCAAUGCCAGAACAACGUUCAUGCAUUUGAUGAACAACGUGUUUCGGCCUUAUCUCGACUCGUUUUUCAUAUUUUUCAUUGGUGAUAUUCUGGUAUACUUGCGUAGUCAGGAGCAGCACGUGGAGCAUCUGAGAGUUAUGUUGCAGAGAUUGAGGGAGGGGAAGCUUUAUGCAAAGUUCUCCAAGUGUGAGUUUUGGCUCAGUUCAGUGACUUUCUUGGUGCACGUGGUGUCUACCAAGGGUAUUCAGGUUGAUCCGAAGAAGAUAGAGGUGGUUCAGAGUUGGCUCAGACCGUCUUCAGCAAUAGAGAUUCGCAGCUUUCUUGGUUUGGCGAGCUAUUAUCGCCGGUUUGUUGAAGGAUUCUCAUCUAUCGCAUCGCCCUUGACCAAGUUGACUCAGAAGGGUGCUUCAUUUGUAUGGUCGUAUGAGUGUGAGGAGAGCUUUCAGAAUCUCAAGAUAGCCUUGACCACAACUCUAGUGUUAGUUUUGCCAUCAGCUUUACGUUUAUAACUAUGUAUUAUGAUGUUUCGAGAGUUGGUAUUGGGUGUGUAUUGAUGCAGGAGGGUAGAGUUAUUGCUUAUGAUUUUCGUCAGUUGAAGCCCCAUGAGAAUAACUACCCCGUUCAUGAUUUGGAAUUGGCUGUCAUUGCUCACGCACUGAAGAUUUGGAGGCAUUAUUUGUAUGGUAUGUCUUGUGAGGUGUUUACUGAUCAUCGUAGCCUCCAGCACUUGUUCAAGCAGAAGAAUCUCAAUUUGAGGCAGUAGAGGUGGUUGGAGUUUCUAAAGGAUUAUGAUAUUACUAAAUUGUACCAUCCGGAGAAGGCCAAUGUGGUGGCCGAUCCUUUGAGCCAAAAGGUGGUGAGUAUGGGCAGUUUGGCAUAUAUUCCAGUUGGGGAGAGACCUCUUGCAAUCGGUUCGUGAGGUUCAAUAUUUCGGAGCCCAGUCGGGUAUUGGCUUGUAUGAUUUCUUGGUAUUCCUUAUAUGAUCGCAUUAGAGAGCGCCAGUAUGAUGAUCCUCAUUUGCUUGUCCUUAAGGACAGAGUUCAGCACGAUGAUGCCAAAGAUGUGACCAUUGGUGAUGAUGGGGUGUUGAGGAUACAGGGCUGGAUAUGUGUGCCCAAUGUGGAUAGGGUUCAGGAGUUGGUUCUGGAUGAGGCCUAUAGCUCACGAUAUACCAUUUAUCCGGGUGCCGCAAAGAUGUAUCAGCAUCUGAGACAGUAUUGCUGGUGGAGGAGAAUGAAGAAAGACAUUGUAGGAUUUGUAGCUCAGUGUCUCAAUUGUCAACAAGUGAAAUAUGAGCAUCAGAGACCGGGUGGCUUGCUUCAGCAGAUGGAUAUUCUAGAGUGGAAGUGGGAGGGGAUCACUAUGGACUUUAUAGUUGGGCUCCCACGGACUUUAAAGAAGUUUGAUGCUAUUUGGGUAAUUGUGGAUCGGCUGACCAAGUAUGCGCACUUCAUUCCUGUAUGUACUACCUAUUCUUCAGAGCGGUUGGCAGAGAUCUAUAUUCGGGAGAUUGUUCGUUUGCAUGGUGUCCCAGUUGCCAUCAUUUCAGAUAGGGACACUCAGUUCACAUUGAAGUUUUGGAGGUCUGUGCAGCAAGAGUUGGGUACUCAGGUUGAGUUGAGCACAACUUUCCACCCUCAGUUGGACAGGCAGUCCGAGCGCACUAUUCAAAUAUUGGAGGACAUGUUGCAUGCUUGUGUCAUUGAUUUCGGAGGGUCAUGGGAUCAAUUUCUACUGCUUAUAAAGUUUGCUUAUAACAACAGCUACCAGUUGAGUAUUCAGAUGGCUCCAUAUGAGGCUUUAUAUGGGAGGGGGUGUAGAUCUCCAGUUGGUUGGUUUGAGUCGGGUAAGGCUAAGCUAUUAGGGACAAACUUGGUGCAGGAUGCUUUAAAAAAGGUGAAGGUAACUCAGGAGAGGCUUUAUACAGCACAGUCGAGACAAGAGAGUUAUACUGACCGAAAGGUUCGGGAUGUGUCCUAUAUGGUUGGUGAGAAGGUUCUAUUGAAGGUUUUGCCCAUGAAAGGUGUUAUGAGGUUUGGGAAGAAUGGUAAAUUGAGUCCUCGGUUCAUUGAGCCUUUUGAUGUGCUUCGGAGGAUUGGGGAGGUGGCUUAUGAGCUUGCUUUGCCACCCAGAUUGUCGAGUGUGCAUCCAGUAUUUCAUGUUUCUAUGCUCCAAAAGUAUAUUGGGGAUCCGUCUCAUGUUCUGGAUUUCAGCACGUUACAGUUAGAUGGUGAUUUGACUUAUGAUGUGGAGCCAACAACUAUUUUGGAGCGUCAGGUUCGAAAGUCGAGAUCAAAGGAUAUAUCUUUAGUGUAAAUGCAGUAGAGAGGUCGGCCUAUAGAGGAGUCUACCUGGGAGAUCAAGUGGGAUAUGUACAGAAGAUAUCCUCACCUAUUUGAGGCUUCAGGUAGGUUUCUUGACUCGUUCGAGGACGGACGUUUGAUUAAGAGGAGGAAGAUGUGACGACCCAGUCAGUUGUCUCAUAAGUUACCAUUCUGUUUCCCCCAUUUCUGCUUCUUAUUGCUUUGUUUAUCGGUUCUAUAUGUGAUCGGGUUGGUUGGCUAGGGUUCGGAGAGGUUUUUGAGAAGGUUUGAGACACUUAGUCUCUUUUUAGGAAGCUUAAGAAGGAAAAGUCAACUGGAUAUUGACUUAUGUGUUAAAGGGCUCGGAUAUGAGUUCCUAUGAUUGGGUUAGCUUUGGGAGUUGAUUUGGGACUUAGGAGCGUGAUCGGAAUGUGUUUUGGAGGUCCGGAGUAGAUUUAGGCUUCAAUUAGAUUUUUGACGUUUUCCGAUUGAUAGGUGUGAUUUUGAUAUAGGGGUCAGAAUGGAAUUCCGAGAGUAGCAGUAGUUUCAUUGUGUCAUUUGAAAUGUGUGUGCAAAAUUUUAGGUCAUUCAGACAUGGUUUGGUAGACUUUUUGAACAAAAGCGUAAUUUAGAAGAUUUUGGAAUUCUUAGGCUUGAAUCCGAUGCGAAUUUGGUGCUUUGAUGUUGUUUUGAGCAUUCCGAAGGUUGGAACAAGUUUGAAUGAUGUUAUGGGAUAUGUUGGCAUGUUUGGUUUAGGUCCCGUGGGCCUCGGGUGAGUUUCGGGUGGUCAAUCGUACCAUUUCAUGUUUUGGAAAAAUGCAGAAAACUGUUGUUCAGUGUUGCAGACAAAUGACCUUCGAGUUCGCGAGUAGGCCCUCACGUUCACAGAGGGUUAGCAGGUGAUACUGAGGAUUUAUCCUUCGCGUUCGUGAGGGAGGCUCCGCAUUCUCGAAGGGCUGGGAUAUUGUACAUCGCGUUUGCGAGGUAUCAGACGCGUUCGGGUAGAGGAAGUUGAGAAACUGGGGUUCAGGUGGAAUUGUUCUUCGCGUUCGCGGAAGGGGUGCCACGUUCACGGUGAGUAAGGGUGCUAAGCCUUCACGUUUGCGAGCUGAGUGUCCCGAUCGCGAUGAAGGAAGUUUGUUCAAAGUAAGUUCGUGCUUCGCGAACGCGAGGCGUUGACCGCGUUCGCGAAGAAGGAUUUGAGGCCUGGGCAGAAUGUUUGAAUAGCCAUUUGGUCCGCGAUGUUGGGGUUAACUUCUACCAUUUUUGUGUGAUUUUGGGGCUUUUUGAAGAGGAUUUAAGAGGCAUUCAAGGGGAAACACUUUGAGGUAAGAUUUAUGGACUUAAUACCCGAUUCUAAUGUGAUUUCUACCUAAUUAAUCAUGGAAUUUAAGCCUAAUAUUGAAGAACUAGGGCAUGUAAUUGGAGACCUAGAAUUUGGGAUUUGAGGGGUCGUUUCUGGUUGAUUUUGAUGAUUUUGGUAUGAAUGAACUCGGGUAGUGAUAAGGAGUCUAUUGAUGUAAUUUUUAUUGGAAUCCGAGACGUGGGCCCGGGGGUCAGAUUUGACCAAUUUUGGGAUUUGUAUUGUAAUUUGAUUUCUUUCGAGUGAGCUUUGUUCCCUUAGCAUAUUUUGAUGAUUUUGCACUGAUUUUGGUUAGAUUUGGAGCAUCCAGAGGCCGAUUCGAGGGAAAAAGGCAUCGCGAGCUAGAGAUUUGGACCGAAUAAAUGGUGUCCUGAGGGUAUGAAACCCCGGAUUGCACAUCGUUGUGCUAUAUUGAAGUGAUGGACACGCUAGAUGACGAGCGUAGGGUCGUGCACUGCUAGGGAUUGUGACUUAGUGCAUCCCAAAUGAUUGUUUUACCGUGUAUUUGACUGAAAACUAUUCUCUACCAUCAUGUUUUGGGUUGAAUGCCAUAUCUGAGCCUCAGGCCAAUUAUUUGAACCCUUAGGGGAUUUUUAAUGAUAUGCCUCACUGUUUUGACUUUAUACUUGUACUCAGUCAUGCUAUAUUCUACUGUUUUUAUAACUCAAUCCUGUUUACUUUGUUUUAACACUUAAAAUAUAUAUUAAAUGAUAUUUUGGGCCGAGCAUCAUGUUUUACUAUUGUCCGAGUGGCUUAUGAGAUACUGAUUGAGUAAAGUCGAGGGCCUAUAUUGUAAGAAAACACUGAUCUAUGAUUUGGGAGGCCGAGGGCCUGAGAUUGUAUGCCACGAGGUGGCUUGUUGAUAUGAUGCCGAGAGCCUACUAAUUAUGCCAAAAGAUGGCUUGAUAUUGCACUUCGGCCGUAAGGGGCCCCUACAGGAGUCUGCACACCCCAGUAAGCGCGGGUAAUCAUUGUGAUAUGAGAUAUAGCCCGAGGGCUUGAUUCUGUUGGUAUUGUGCCCAAGGGGCGAUUCUUUAUGUGCUUAUCUUUUCUAGUUGCCACAAUGAAAAUCUCUCUGGUAAAAAUGGAUCCACAGCCUUAUGCAUCUCAACACACGAUACCACCCAAUCCCCGAGACAUUGAUCAAGACAUGAUGAAACCAACUUUCAAAGAAAUGUUAACCACUUCAAAUCUAAUGCUCUUCACACCUAUUGACAAUCAACCCAACAUGGAUUUCCCAAAUUUGGCUCAGAAAAACACUUGGCUGAUCAUACAACUUUAACACAUACACGGGGUAUCAAGUUCAUCUCACUCACUGAGGAAGAGAAGCAAAAAAUUUACGAGCCAUGGAAAAAUUCCAUCAUUGUGAAACUAGUGGACAAACGAAUGCUACAUCACUAACUAAAGAAAAAAAUUCAAGAACUAUGGAGGCCAACGGAAGAUUUCCAAUUAAUUGAUCUCGGAGAAGACUACUACAUCACUAAAUUCAAGAGCAAGGAAAAUAUGGAUAAAGCUAUAAAACAAGGACCUUGGUUCAUUAAUGGGUGCUUUCUCUCCAUUACAAGAUGGAAGCCAAAUUGUGUUGCUACCAAAGAGAAAGUAACAAAUUCGGUAGUAUGUGUUAGACUUCCCCAAUUGCCUACUAAAUUUUACGAUGGGACAAUUCUGGAAAAAAUUGGUAAUGCAAUUGGCCGGCUACUAAAAAUAGACGUUUGUACAUCAACCAGCUUAAGAGGUCGUUAUGCAAGACUAUGUGUGGAGCUCCCAUUGGAAAUCCCAGUCCAACCAUUUCUCUAUGUUGGCCACCACAAACAAGUAAUCCAUUAUGAAGGAGAAAAUUACCUUUGUAAAUAUUGUGGACGACUGGGACACAUAGAAAAAUAAUGUACUUACAUUAUUCACUCAAUAAAGGACAAUGAAGAACCAAACAUGGAGCAAUCAACAACAACAAAGUCAGAGGAGAAACAAGAAGAAUGGAAAACAGUUUCUUUUACCAAAGGAAAGCAACAAGGUGCAAGAGGUAAUCAAACGCACAUCAAUGCAAAUCCGAUCAAAAAAUCAAAAGGCCCAGGUAUCUCAGUUAAAUUGUUCAAUGCCAACACUGGUAAGUACUUAGAUACACAAACUCUUGCAAUACACAUCUAAAGAUCAUAAGAAUGCUUCUUCUUCAUUACAUACACACAAUUCCAAAUUUACGGCCACUAUGGUUGAAGAACAAACCGAUUUGACAACAAAAAAACAACUUUUACCUUCUAAGUGAAGAGCCAAUAUUUUUGGGAGAAAUCACCAUGGGAGAAAAAAUUCUAAAAGAAAAUAUUAAUAAUUGUCAUGCAAUUGAACAAAUGUCCUUAACUAACAAGGACAUUGACAUGUUGGAAACAAACGUGUCUUGUUUUAGUAGUCCUACUAAUCGCAUUAACAAUGUUGCCAUGCAAGAUUACCAUCUAACUGACCAAACUACCCCUACUAAUAAACGUAAUGGAAUUGUCAAAACUAACCUUACUAACAAGAAAAUUGGUAAUAAACCAACGAUUACCCAAACCCUCAAGAAAAAUCAUUCCUCGAUGUCUGAUCAUCUCACCACCCCUAAGCAUGCCAUCCAAAUGGAAAAGGAGAAAGAAAAUUUUUGACAAGUGUCUUCCAACCUAGAGCACGCAAAGCAUAUGGAAGAUCAACCUAUAUAACUCAAUCUUGGGGACUCAAACGCCAUGCAAAAAGAAGCUCCAAUCAUUACUCUAUCAACCAAUCCUUCCCAUAUAUUCAAUAGCCCCUCCCCCAUGCCUAAGUUAGAUCCUUUAUGUACCCAAAACUCCGGCCAUAAUGCCCAGUAUACCAUCAUCUCUAAGGUGGGGACACAAACUUCUCCAAAUACUUCGUCAACAUAGAAUUGUCAUGGAAAACCUUCCAUCUCUACACCCUUAACAAGAAAAUCAUCAAAUAAUUUACAUCCAACCACCACAAGCACAAUAUUACCAACCUGUGUCAUGGAUAGAGAUGGUCCUGAUGGGCCAUGCAUGCUUGUUCAAUGUCCAGAUAAAUGGCCAGGACUCGAUCAUCAUUCUUCACGAAACUUAAUGCCUAGCCCAACUAGUGAUAGAAGGCAUGAGGUUGGCAAUGAAUAAUUAUCUCAAUCAGGCUUGGCUCAAAAACUUCCUUCAACCCCUAGCACCCUCAGUGAAUCCCCAAUUGUUCCAUGCAAUGAGGAACCAAUGGAACUUACCACCACACUUCAAUCCAAUCUACCCAUAAAAUGCUCUCCUGGAUAUGCCCUUCUUCAUGCCGGAGACUUUAACUCAGUUGAAUCUCAUAAUCCUACCAUGGGAACAAACUCAGCCAGCCCAGGAGCCACUAAUACCUCCAACUCAUCAACAACCUCCAUCUCCACCCCACAACCAGGUGCAUGUACCUAAACCAGUAGAGGCAGAGAUGGAGGAGGAGGAACCCCUCAAUCUACUCUUAGAAAGAGUCCUAGAAAUCUCAAGUCUCGAUGGAGUAGAAGUGUUUCUCUUCACGGAGAGGCAAUAGAAAAGGCACGUGCUUAGUUGACCACUAGCAUUAUACAAAUUCUCGAUGGACAUAAGACCACCUCAGGAUCCAACAGUGGGCAACAAAACCAUGAUCCUAGUUCCAUCAUUGAGAAGGAACCUAGUCUUAGGGGCAGUGAGGGAAAAUGGUGAUGCGGCAAACUCGAAUCUUAAUAUCUCUAUGAAUUGACCUACAAAUAUUAUUAUUUGGAACAUAAAGGGAGGGAACAAUGAUAACUUCAGGAGAAACUUCAGGGAAAUGGUAGAUACACAUAGACCUUGCAUGGUGGCUUUGUUAGAAACUAGAAUGGGAAAUCAUAUGGAGUUGCUGGAUGAUUUUGGGUUUACAGAAUUGAUAGAGGUGCCAACUGAAAGCCAGUCAGGAGGGAUAGUGGUACUGUAAAACCAUGAAAUUGUAACUAUCUAAAACUUUGUUCGAAGGGAUCAAUAAAUUCAUGCUACGAUCGAGGUAACUCCUAUACGUAAAUAUUGGUUUUUAGUGCUAUUUAUGCUAUUACAAAUAUGCUUAAUAGGAAUAUGAUGUGGGAUAAUCUUGAGAAUAUUAGCAAAAAUUAUAAUGGUCCUUGGUUAUUGGGGGAGAUUUCAAUGAUGUUUUAGGCUCAAAUGAGAUAUUUGGUGGCAAGUGUAUAAAUGACAGUAGGGCAAAUCAUCUUUGGUCAAAAAUUAAAAAUUGCAACUUAAUUGACUUAGGUUAUAAAGGGUGUAAAUAUACCUGGUCCAACCAUAGACAUAAAAAUAAAGGUCUCAUUAUGGAAAGGCUUAAUAAGGUAUUAGGAAAUGAGGAAUGGAUUAAUCUCUUCCCAGAGAGUUCUAUUAUACACCUCCCGAAGACCCAUUCGGACCAUAACCCUAUCUUAGUAGAAUUAAUCCCAAAAAAUAAUUAUCUCCACAAGCCACCCUUUAGACUUGAGACCUACUGGUGCAAGCAUCCAGAAUUCAAGCCCUUAGUUCAAAAUAAUUGGACAAAUACUGACUAUAAUAGGGCUAGCCAAAAUUUCAUAGAAAAAGUUAAGGUUUGGAAGCAACAAACUUUUGGUGAUAUAAUGGGAAAAAAAGAAAGACCCUAACCCGCCUUCAAGGUAUUCAAACUUCCAAGAACUAUCCUUAAAAUACUUUACUCCAAACCCUAGAAACCAAUCUAAAAAAAGACUACAAUGAUUUACUAAAAAUAGAAGAAGACUAUAGAAAAUUAAGGUCGAGGGUUAUUUGGAUAAAUGAGGGAGAUGCUAACACUAAGUUCUUCCACAUCUCUACCUCCAAUAGAAAAGGAAGGAAUAAGAUUAACUUCUUUAAAUAUGAGGAAGGAAAUUGGAUGAAUGACCCUCAUCUAGUCACCUCUCAUGUUUGUAAUCAUUUCACUAAUAUUUUUAUCACUUCACACAACAAAUCAAGUCGGGUUAGUCCUCUAAAAAAUAUCUCUCAAAAUUUUUUAAACCUUAAUUGUCUAGAUAAUCCCUUACUUGAUAUCGAAAUCACAAAAGGCUCCCUUCUCUUUUAAACCUUUCAAAGCGCCUGGUUCGGAUGGCCUCCAUCCAUUCUUUUUCCCAAAAUACUGGGAUAUUAUAGGACCCUCUGUGACAAACUUGUGUCAUGACAAUUUUAAGAAUCAGCAAAUCACCCAAGAACUUAACAAAACUUACCUCUGCCUAAUUCCAAAAAUACCCAAUGCCAACAACAUCAAAAAUUUUAGACCUAUAGGCCUAUAUAACACCAUUUACAAAUUAAUCACUAAAAUCCUAGCAAAUCGUCUCAAACCCUUCCUUGAUCAGCUUAUUAGUCCUUGUCAAGCGAGUUUUAUAAAAAAUAGAAGGGCAUCUGAUAAUGGUAUUAUUCAGGAACUAGUUUCAAAAAUCCAUAAAUUAAAAGGAAAACAAGGUCACAUGCUCCUUAAAAUUGACCUAGAAAAGGCUUUUGACCGAUUAGAAUGGUUAUUUGUGCAUCACACUUUAACCUACUUCAACUUCCCUCAAAAUUUUAAAAAACUCCUCUUAAACUGCAUCUUAACUAGAUCCAUAGAUGUAUCAGUUAAUGGCUCAAUUAGUACAUUUUUUAAACCAAGUCGGGAAAUUAGGCAAGGGGAUCCUAUAUCCCCUUAUGUCUCGAAAUAUUGUCAAGAUAUAUAAACCAUUAAGUUGAUGUUAGAAAUUGGGAUCAAAUUACCAUAGGGAAAAGAAGCCCCAAGUUUUCACACCUUUUCUUUGCAGAUGAUCUCACCCUAAUGGCUAAAGCCAAUAUGAAAUCGUGCCAUGCAAUCCAAAAGGCUUAGACUUUUCUUGUAAUCUAUCAGGGCAAUGUAUCAACACUUCAAUGUCCAAAAUUAUCUUUUCUAAUAAUUGUCCCCAAACUCUAUUGAAAGAAAUUACCAUUAGUUUGAUUAUUAAAAGAAGCGAUUCCUUUGGUACAUAUCUAGGUUUUCCUAUAUUAAACAAACACCCUAGGCCAAAAGAUUAUCAAUUCAUAAUUGACAAAAUAAGAGCCAAACUAACGGCUUGGAAAAUGAAUUUUUUCAAUAUAGCUUGCCGGACAGCACUCUCACUUUCUUGUCUAAACUCAAUCUCUAACCACUAUAUGCAAUACACCCUACUUCAUACAAACACUCUUAAUAAAAUUGACAAAGUGCAAAGGGACUUCAUAUGGGGAACUACUAGUGAAAAGAAAAGAAUUCACCUCAUCAAAUGGUCCAUCAUUUGCCAGCCAAAAUGCAAGGGAGGCCUUGGACUCUAUAGAGCUGAAGAUAAAAACCUUUGCAGCCUUGCUAGCCUAGCCUGGAGAGCCCUUAUGAACCCUACCACCCUAUGAGCAAACCUAAUUAUUAGUAACUAUGCUAAUAACUUCAACACUAUUAAAAAUUCUUUUAUCUGGAAAAGCAUUCAAAAGGGGUGGGAGUUAUGUUCCAAAGGUAUCAUUUGGCAGCCCAUCACCAAUCCAACAUGAAUAUUUGGGAAACCUAUUGGAUUCCGAAAUUGGGGAGCCUUAGAAAAUCAAUAGAAGGCCCCUUAUUAAGAAAGGAUUACUCAAUAAGAAUAAGAGACAUCUUUGAUGGCAAAAACUAGCAAUUUGGCAAUAUAUCCAUCAAUCUUCCCAAAUAAAUCAUGGACACCAUAUCAAAGGUUAAAAUCCAUAUUAAAAAACCAAAUUGUGACAUCCCUAUUUGGUCUCUAAAUACGAAAGGCUUCUUUACAAGCAAAACUUGCUAUACUAUCAUGGACUCUAAUGAGGGCAGGGAAAUCGAUUUUAAAUGGAUUUAGGAUCUUGCAUGCCCAAAUAAAAUCAAAUUCUUCCUAUGGCAAUGCUUUCAUAAGAGAAUACCUUGUAGACAAUAUCUAGCAAAAAUUGGCCUAAACAUUGACCACCAACUGCCCUAUAUGUAGAGAUCAUAUAGAAGAAUCCAUAAUACAUAUUUUCUUCAAGUGCAAAGCCAGUAAACAACUUUGGGACAACCUUGGAUGGGAAAACUCCUAUAAGGAGGAUGGUGAUCAUUGGUUAAUCGAAUUAAAAAAAUUUGACUAUCCGUUAAAUAAUAAAAUUUUAAAUUGGAAUCUCUUCUUCCCUUUCGCUAUCUGGCAUAUUUGGAUAAACAGGAAUACCAAUAACCAAAAGAAUACAAAUUACCCUAUCAAUAUUAACCACAUCAUUGCUAGGGCUACUGAAUUUCGACUCCUAACAGAAAAGAGUAUUCUACCUUCUCCAAAAAUCCAUAUCAAUGUUAAAUGACAUAGCCCCCCAAAGGGAUGGUUCAAAUUAAACAUUGAUGCAAGUUUCAACAAAAAUCUACAAAAUUGUGGUCUGGGUUGAGUAAUCAUAAAUGUUAAUGCCCACUGGAUAGUAUGCAAAAUCAGCUCAUGCACGUGGAUCACUGCAUGUUGAGAUCAAAUCACUACUAGCGGGACUUAAAACAACUCUUAAUUGGGGGAUGUGCCCUUUCCAAAUUGAAACAGAUUUGACGGAGGUAAUCUGGUCAAUCCAACAAGGUAAUAAUCUUUAUACUAACAUUGUCAAUAAAUGCAGGUUGUUAUUGCUCAUGUUGAAGCAGGUAAUCAUCUAGCAGGAGUUCAGGUAAGGGAAUAAAGUAGCUUACCAACUGGCACAGAUGGCAACUGCUGAUCUCAGGAAGAAGAAAAAAGUUUUUAUGGAUCCACCAGAUGAUGUAAAAAUUCUAGUAGAACGUGAUUUAAUAGAAAAAUAUAUUUUUGGAAAACUUUUAUCGUAUGAUGCUUGUAAUACUUAAGCAAGCCUAGGUAAUCAAAGUGUCCUAUGUGACACUAACUAUGAAUCUCAUGUAUUCCAUGUUCCUUAACCUUUAAUAUAUAUAUUUCCUGUUGGCUAAAAAAAAAAAAUAUCUUUUCUAGUUGCCUGUCAUUUAUUUGCUUAAUUGCUAAAAAGGUAUUUUAAAGAAGCCUAAACUGAACUAAGGUGACAUUACAUGUUUUCACCGUUUCACUACUUUUACUGGCUUUUACUGCUGCUUUAUAGCAUGUUGAUGUGCCUUUACGUAAUUUCUUAUUGCUCAGUCUUCAUUUAUUAUUAUUACUCACUGAGUUGGAGUACUCACUUUACUCCCUGCACCCCAUGUGCAGAUUCAAGCGCAUCAGGUCCUGCUUGCGAGGGUUGAGAGUUGUUCAGCAUAUCCCGAAGAUUCACUAGGUAGUUGCUCGGCGUCCGCAGCCCAAUGCUUCUUCCUCUAUCUUAUUUUCUCCUGUUUUUAGUUAUGUAAUAGUGGUGUAGGCUCUUUUAGACUUAUAGUUUUGAUGAUAGAUACUCAUGACUGGUGAUACCACGAUGUCGGGCUAUGUCUAUUCUGCAACUGUAUUGGUUACCCUAUUUUGGGAUUUUUAUUAUUAUAUUAAAGGCUUAGUUUUAUUACUUAAUUGCUUAAAAAUGCAUUGGGAAUGUGUCAGCUGGCAUUGUCUUCACGAGAGGCGUCAUCACGACCGACUCCGGGUUUAGGGUCGUGACAUAUUGACUAAUGAUGAAUGAAAAAUAAAAAAAAUAAAAAGAGAAGAAAAGAAAAAUACAUAAAAAAAGAGGAAGAAAAGGGCAAAAAUAAAAUAAAAUGAAAAAAAUAUGAUGAUGAAAAAAAGAAAAAAAAAGAAGAUAGAGGAAAAAGAAAAGGAAAAAGAAAGAGAAAACAAAAGAAAACCAAAAAAACAAGCUUCCUAAACUACGUUCGACUUGAUUCCAAAAGGAUACGUAGGCAACCUCUCUCUGGGGUUCAGUCACACAAAAAUAAAAAUCCAAACUCCCCCCCCCCCCAAAGUGAAAGAGGGGCAGAUGUUAUAACAGUUCAACANNNNNNNNNNNNNNNNNNNNNNNNNNNNNNNNNNNNNNNNNNNNNNNNNNNNNNNNNNNNNNNNNNNNNNNNNNNNNNNNNNNNNNNNNNNNNNNNNNNNNNNNNNNNNNNNNNNNNNNNNNNNNNNNNNNNNNNNNNNNNNNNNNNNNNNNNNNNNNNNNNNNNNNNNNNNNNNNNNNNNNNNNNNNNNNNNNNNNNNNNNNNNNNNNNNNNNNNNNNNNNNNNNNNNNNNNNNNNNNNNNNNNNNNNNNNNNNNNNNNNNNNNNNNNNNNNNNNNNNNNNNNNNNNNNNNNNNNNNNNNNNNNNNNNNNNNNNNNNNNNNNNNNNNNNNNNNNNNNNNNNNNNNNNNNNNNNNNNNNNNNNNNNNNNNNNNNNNNNNNNNNNNNNNNNNNNNNNNNNNNNNNNNNNNNNNNNNNNNNNNNNNNNNNNNNNNNNNNNNNNNNNNNNNNNNNNNNNNNNNNNNNNNNNNNNNNNNNNNNNNNNNNNNNNNNNNNNNNNNNNNNNNNNNNNNNNNNNNNNNNNNNNNNNNNNNNNNNNNNNNNNNNNNNNNNNNNNNNNNNNNNNNNNNNNNNNNNNNNNNNNNNNNNNNNNNNNNNNNNNNNNNNNNNNNNNNNNNNNNNNNNNNNNNNNNNNNNNNNNNNNNNNNNNNNNNNNNNNNNNNNNNNNNNNNNNNNNNNNNNNNNNNNNNNNNNNNNNNNNNNNNNNNNNNNNNNNNNNNNNNNNNNNNNNNNNNNNNNNNNNNNNNNNNNNNNNNNNNNNNNNNNNNNNNNNNNNNNNNNNNNNNNNNNNNNNNNNNNNNNNNNNNNNNNNNNNNNNNNNNNNNNNNNNNNNNNNNNNNNNNNNNNNNNNNNNNNNNNNNNNNNNNNNNNNNNNNNNNNNNNNNNNNNNNNNNNNNNNNNNNNNNNNNNNNNNNNNNNNNNNNNNNNNNNNNNNNNNNNNNNNNNNNNNNNNNNNNNNNNNNNNNNNNNNNNNNNNNNNNNNNNNNNNNNNNNNNNNNNNNNNNNNNNNNNNNNNNNNNNNNNNNNNNNNNNNNNNNNNNNNNNNNNNNNNNNNNNNNNNNNNNNNNNNNNNNNNNNNNNNNNNNNNNNNNNNNNNNNNNNNNNNNNNNNNNNNNNNNNNNNNNNNNNNNNNNNNNNNNNNNNNNNNNNNNNNNNNNNNNNNNNNNNNNNNNNNNNNNNNNNNNNNNNNNNNNNNNNNNNNNNNNNNNNNNNNNNNNNNNNNNNNNNNNNNNNNNNNNNNNNNNNNNNNCUUGUUUUAAACUCAUUAUCCAUUCCAUUAUUUGUUUUCUUUGAAUCCCUUUUGGUUAACUCUGUUUCGAAACUAAGAUAAAGAAAGGAUGGUAAGAAUGAUUUACAGGGUUCUCAUUUGACACGAGCUCAUGUGCAAUAAGACACCCAGCCUCAUCGGGGGCAUCAAGUCGACUUCGACCAGCCAUGGUGGCUGAUGUUUUGAAAUUGAAAAACUCUUGAAAAUAAAGGAAAUCAAAGUCAAAUGCCCACAAAAGCAAAAUAAAGUUAAAAAAGUUGAGUCACAUAUGGCUAACCGUCAUGGCAAAGGUUUGAAAAGCCAAAGUACCCCAAAUGUACUGAAAGUGAAGUUGGAAGAAAGAAGCCAGAAAUGAAAGGCCUAUGAAGGCAAAAUAAAGUUAGAAAAGAUUAAGUCCCACGCGACUAGCCCUUGCAGCAAAGUUUGAGGAGCCAAAAAGUUGCCCAAUACGCCAAGCCCAAUGCUCCGAAGAAAAAAAAAAGAAAUCAGAAGGGAAAAGCCUACGAAGGCAAGAUAAAGUUGAAAAGGUUGAGUUCUACCGACCAAUCAUCAUGGAAAAGUCUGGAAAAGCCAGAGUUUCUCCAGAGUCAGAAAUGCAAUCGGUAUUCAGGAAGCAACCAGUUAAAGUUAAAAGGGCCGAGAACAAGUGAUUGAAAUAGUCAAGGCCAUAAAAUCAACCACCGUUUCAAACUAGCAAACUAUUCUUUGUUUGAAAAAAAAAGGAAAUAGGUGCAAUCCAAAAGCAACCUUGCAAGAAGCAUGUGCAACCAAAAGAAAGGGCACAAAGGCUAAAAAAUAGCUCUGUAGCAACACCUUAAAAAAAAGGAUGUCUUCUCCAAAAUUCUUUCCCGCAUUUACUCAUUCUCUGAAGAAAAACAAUGAUGAUUAUGUUGAAAUAAAAUGAAGAGAAUGAAAAGCAGAAAAAUUCAAAAUCAUGGUUGCAAAGGGUCCCACUCUCUAGCUGAUGUCAGCAUAACCUGAAAAUCUUUUUCCAACAGAGGGUCUCAUUACCUAGUCGAUGCCACCACAACUUGGUAAUCUUUUCCCAAUAUAGGGUCCUAUUCCCUAGUCGCUGCCAGCAUAACCUGGUAAUCUUUUUCCAGUAGAGGGUCUCACUCCCUAGUUGAUCCCCAGCAUAACCCGUGGACCUCCCGGGCAUAACCUGAUGACAUUUCAGGCAUAACCCGUGGACCUCCCUGGCAUAACCCGAGGACCUUUUCCGGCAUAACCCAAUGACUUUACCGGAAUAACACGUGGACCUCCCUAGCAUAACCUGAGGACCUUUUCCGGCAUAACCCGAUGACUUUUCCGGCAUAACCCGUGCACCUCCCCGGCAUAACCCGAGGACCUUUUCCAGAUAACCCAAGGACCUUUUCCGGCAUAACCCGAUGGCAUUCCCGGCAUAACCCGUGGACCUCCUCGGCAUAACCCAAGGACCUUUUCAGGCAUAACCCAGUCAUUUGCCCAGCAUGACCUGGUAAUCUUCCCAACUCAGGGCCUCCGAUCCCUAGUUGAUUCCAUUGUAGAUAUAGGGUAUCCACUCCUUAAUAUCUUUUCUUCCAAGUAUACACAGUCCUGAUUUUAUUGCUUUCAAUAAAGAUUUAGUUUAGAUUUUUGUUACAAUAACUUACAAAAUUUUCCUAGUGAAAAUUUGGGCAGAAAAAAUUCGUUCGUUUGUUUGUUUUGGUGCCUGAACGGGUUUUUACCUUGAGGCACAAGUUUCGAGGCGGCCAAAAGAAGAAAUCUUGAUUCAAAUAAAAAAAAAAGAAAAAAGAAAAACAAGGAAAAGAAGUCAGCUCAAAGUGCAGAAGCAGAUGAAAGAUGUGAACUACUCAAGACAUGGCUGAAGUCAAGAGCGUUGCAUGUCCGGUCUUGAUCCGAAGAAGCCGUGAAAGAAUAAGCCUGCAUCUGCAACUAACAAGCAUCAAGAUUCAGAUCAGAGUUCACAUGAAGAACCAACCAAGACUCAAGAUCAAUCUUCUGAAAACUCAUAGAUAGGAAUCUUGUAACUCGUAGCUGAUAGGCUUAGUUAGUCUUUUAAUUUUGAUUUUGAUGUAAUAACGGGACCAUGGACCGAAACCUAGAUGGGACCUCACUCGACUCUCGAAUUCAUCACUCCAUCAUUCUCCAGAACUACACUGACCUGAUUCCUUUAUAGCCAAGGAUAUGUAGGCAACCUCCGAAGCAAGGUUCGGUCAAACUUUUUUCAAAAUGCUUCCAAAUGGAGUUUCAAACGGGCAAAAAUUGCUCGUAAUUGCUCACUUUAUCUUUGCCCAAAAACUUUUCAUGUUUCUGAGCAAAGAGGGGAAGCUGUGAGCACCUAAUUUUUGCCCUACAUUAAAAUAACUACUAAAAAUAAAUCAAAAAAUGAUUUUAAAGGGAUUUUAGAUGUUUUUCUUUAUUUAGUUGCAUUUCAUGCAUUUUUAAUAUUUUAAAAUCAUAAAAAAUUAUCACGUUUUAAUUUCAUGCCAUCUUAGGCUCAAUUUGCAUGUAGAAAUUAAUUUUAUUAAGAAAAAACACAAAAAUGAUCAUUUUUACGUAUUUAGCUUUUAGUCUUUAGAAAGUAGUGUUUUUAUUUAGUUUUAAGUUAAUUAGUUAUUUUCAUUGAUAAAUAAUUUUAAUUUUUACAAAUUAGAUUGAUUUAGGAUUAAUUUAGGAUUUUAUUAGAUUUUAAAAUCAAAAAAAAAAAUGGAAAAAAAGAUUAUGAUUUAGUCUUAGUGUAUUGGGCCAAAGAUAAUUAGCCCAAAUUCAUGACCCAAAUCCCUUCAGGCCCAAUACCCAUUAAACCCAAUACCCUAAAAAACCCAACUCACUCACUUUUAAUAGAUUUUUUUAGACUACCAAAACCUAGAGAUUUAACGCCUAGACCCUUAGGAGCUUUCCACCAUGUUUCACAGACCCCCUCCCCCCCGGAUCUCAUCUUCUUCGACACACCCCACAAAGAAAAACGAAAAGAACCCAUCUUCUUCUAGACUCUAAGACCAAAACCAGUAGCAGCACCCUCACCAAUCCACCCCCUGAACCUCUCUGACGCCGUCCGGCCAACACCAGCAGCUCCUGCUUCGCCGGAAUGCCAAUCAACCUCCCAAUCGUUUCCCUUAGUUUGUAAAUGACCUCCCUUAAACAGGGUGGAUCUUUUUCUUAAAUACUCACCUCACAAUAGACCCGUUGCUGCUCUUUCAUCAACAGAAAUGGACAGAAACUGGCAACCACUAACACACAAACAGUAAGAGAAACAGAGGUACACGGAUAGAGAGAGAAGAGAACGGGAAUGAAAAAAACAUGUUUACUUCUUUCAGUUCUUUUUUGAUUUCUCAUCUCAAACUUGGAGAUAUUGUCCUUUGAUUUUUCGUUCCAAAUGGAUGAAAUUUGAGUUUGUGUUGGUUGCGAAUUUUGUCGCCUAUUUAAGGUUCCGUUUGAGCUAUUGUCUGAUUCGACUCCCAUUGUAGCCAUGGUUUCAUUUUGUUUUGCUUGUGUAACUGCUGAAUUCAAAGUUACAAAUUAAAACCAAAGCAAAAACAGAAAAACAAAGAGGAUUUGAAAGCCAAUUCAGUUUCUAUUCAUGUAUGUCAUUUUUGGAAUAGCGAGAGACCUUUUGAUUGUGGAGGAACUGUUUGGCUUCUGCUAACUGUUUGAAUUACGAUAUCUACUUUGUUGGGAUCUUGAAUUGGAUUUCUGCCUUAUUUGGCCUGAUUUAGUGCUUUCUCAUGUCGAUUAGUUUAGAGUUUAUUUUGAGUUCCAUUCGAGGUGCCGAGGUCGUUUGGCAAAUUUCCGGUCGAAAUCUAAUCUUGUGCUCGAUAUUUGCUAUUGUAACCAAUUUGCACUGAAGCUAUAAAGGUUCGAUUUCACUAUCUUUAAUCAUUUUAUUGACCUAUUGCUUGUGCUUAGUUUUUGGUUGAGCUUAUCUUGAUAAAAUCUUAGUAUGAAGUAGCCUACUGUGUAAUGGUUGAAAUCUUAAAAGGAUUUGGGUCAUAAUUUAAUGGAAAUAGGCAUUGGCAUUAAGAGAUCAUUUCUGAACCUAUAACUAUGUGGUGCGUUUUAAGAAGGAACCAUAAUUGGGUUUUGGCAUUACUUCAUUAAUUUUUACUUUAGAAUGGUGUUAUAAUGUUAGGGACAAUUGGGGUAGUAAAUUCAUUGACCAAUUGUGUCAUUGGGGUAAUUGUGAUUAAUUGGAAUUAAGCCAUGAUGUUCUGAACAUAGUAACGAGAAUUUGCAGCUUGGAUAUUUUAUUGCUCCCAUUUAAUGUUAAUAUCACUUGUAAUAUUCACAGUUUGCUUUAGGCACAUUUAAUAUAUCAUCGUGAUUGUGUACACGUUCGCAUGACAUAAUUAUAAUUCUAAAAACAAACCGAGGUAUGCGUUCACGCAACUUCGAUCAAAACUUUUCUUAAAUAACUAAUAAAGCAUGAUUAAUUGUGGACACGAAUGCGUGACAUGAUUUUUGACGCGCCAAGAGAAACGAGUACACGUACCGCGACUCAAUUCUUUAAUUACAAAUAAUCAAGCAAUUAAAAGCGGUAAAAGGUAAAUGUACAUAGGUUCUAAAAUAAGUAAUUAGACAACUUAAGUCGAGUAUAAAUCGCUAAGCGACCAUGCUAGAACCACGGAACCCAGGAAUGCCUAACACCUUCUCCCGGGUUAACAGAAUUCCUUAUCUAGAAUUUCUGGUUCGAGACUUUUAAAUAAAGUCGAAAAUUUCCUCGAUUUGGUAUUUAAAAAUAAACUGGUGACUUGGAACAACAAAUAAAUUAUUCCAAGUAGCAACUCUGAAAAACAAAUAAAAUAAUCUCAUUUCGAAUAAUAUCACUUUAAUUGAAAAAGCUCCCUCAUAUACCCUAUCGGGUAGUAAAAAGGAGGCGUGACAGCUAGUUUAAUUAGGAAAGGCAAAACCUGGAGCGUUGAUCAAAACGAUCAACGGCUAGGAUUUGGCUGGGUAUUGUGUCGGGUAGGUGUUCCUACAUUAGGUAGGGUAAUUCUGGGGUCCGGCUUGGGCUGAAUUGGAAUUGGGCUGGAAUCGAAAUGAAAUUAGGCUAGAUUUUAAAUAGCCAUUUCAGUACUAUAUAAUUUAUAAAAAAUAAUAAAUGAUUUCAAAAAAAAUUUUCAUUUACUAAAAUAAUUAAAAAUAGUUGUUUAACAUUUAAAAAAAAUAAAAGACCAAAAUAUGUAUUAAUAACGUAAUUAUGCAUUAAUAUGGCCAGUAUUGCAAAUAUACACAAAUUAACUAAAAAAUGUAAAAUGCAAUUAUAGAAAAUAUACAAAAAAUAUUUAAGCAGUAUUUUGGCAUAAAUAUAGAAUUUAGAUGGCUAGAUUAACACAAAAAUAAUUUGAAGGAUAAUUAUUAGAAAUUUUAUAAAUAAAAAGGGAAGAAAUAAAUAAAUUUGGAGCUUUUAAAAAUUAUAAAAAUUGCAUAAAAAAUUAGAAAAAUGCUCAUGCAUGCUUAUAACUGCAUAUAUGCUAUUUUGAUAGUACAUAUAUGUAUUAAAAACAUAUAAGGAAAAAUUGGCUAUGAACAACUGCCCCUUUUUACCCGGGAAGGAUGAAAGAGUUUUCUGGUAAAGAAAUGAUGGCCAAUUUUGAUCGGAUGAGAUAUUUUGAAAGACAGAGGCCGGACUCUGGUCUUCGAGUUGCCUACAUAUCCCUUGUCCUACAAAAAUUAGGCCAUAUUUAGUUCUGGAUUCAUUGACGGAAUAUACCGAUGAAGUCAUUGCAAGAACAGACACGGGAUGCAAAAGCGACUAUGGUGAGCGGUUAAGGUUCGAGACAGUUGAAGGAACUGGAGCAAGGUCGCUCCGGCUAGGAUAGCGGUUUCUUACUGGUAACCUGCAGAUAAAAAAAUGCUGCCGACAUUAUCCUAUUCCACGAGAUCCAGGAGCCCUCCACCCACUCCUCCUCUUAGUCCUGUCAAAAACAAGAACAUAGGCAAGAUGGAAGAUUUGAACAACGUCAGAAAGGAGAAUCCAACUGAACGGGUAGAGUCCACUAAUGACCAUGGUACUCAAGUUCCUAAAGAGAAUGUAUCCCAACUUGAACAAAAGCUGUAGAAAUUCCAAGAAGAUCUCAAUCAUAUUCGGAAUCUGGCAACCCUGUCAUUUUCCCUCAGCACCCCAGAUAUCAACUUUCCCAAUACUCAAAACCCCACACCUCCUCAAAACAUCCCAAAGCAACAGAAUUAUCCUUCUCCUCACCAUCAUACUGUUCCACCAAAAACCCAAUGUAACACCUGCCAUACUCCCGAACAAUACUCCGCUACUCAUCCCGGAACUCUAAAACCCCACAAACAACCACUUUCACACCCACCAUAACACCCCUAUUUACAUGGAGACCAUGCCACACACCACCCAACCUAUCUCAAUCACACCUAAGUCUAAUGAAAAGGAUCUGCUUAUCAGAAACCUGACUGAGGAACUUAAGAAAUUGACUAGCCGAAUCCAGGGCGUUGAGGGAAGAAAGGGAAUCGAGGGGCUAAACUAUGAAGAUAUUUGCAUUCAGCCCGAUGUUGACCUGCCCUUGGGGUACAAUCCUCCGAAGUUUGAAAUGUUUGACGGUACAGGUGAUCCAAAGGUCCAUUUGAGGAUGUACUUCGACAAGCUGGUUGGAGUAGGAAAAGACGAGAGAAUCCGCAUAAAGCUGUUCAUGAGGAGUUUGAAAGGAGAUGCCUUGUCCUGGUACAUCAGCCAAGAUCCAAAGAAGUGAUCAAGCUGGGUAGGCAUGGCGUCCGACUUUAUGGACAGGUUCAGGUUUAACACAAAGAAUGCAUCGGAUGUGUUCUAUAUUCAGAAUCUAAAGAAGAAGCCUACAGAGAAGUUUUGCGAGUAUACUACUCGCUGGAGGUCCAAAGUUGCUAAGGUCAGACCUACCUUAGAGGAGGAACAGAUGAACAAAUUCUUUGACCAAGCUCAGGACCCGCAGUAUUAUGAACGUCUAAUGAUGAUCGAGAGCCACAAAUUCUCCGACAUUAUCAAACUGGAAGAAAGAAUUGAAGAGGUUAUCAAAAGCAGAAUGGUUACAAACUUCGAGGCCUUUCAAGCUAUAAAUAAGGCCUUACAGUCCGGUGGUGUGUCCAAGAAAAAGGACGCAGGGGCCGUGAUGGUUGCACAAAGGAUCAAAUCUCUCCUCAAAUACCAAACUUACCCAACACCUCCACUGAUAUAUCAGCCAACCCCAAAUUACCAAGCACCUUCACUCUCAUACCAAGCUCUGCCACCUACUUAUCAAUCGCCUCCACCUCCCACACAUCAACCUACAUCACCUAGAUACUCACAACCUGCUCAUGUAUACCAAACCUACAAUGAUCAAUCAUCCCACUAUCAAUCACCUCCUACAUGCCAAAACUUCCCUAGGCCCCGACCUAAUUUUGACCGCAGACCUCCAAAACAAUAUACAACCAUUGCCAAACCUAUUGGCCAAUUGUACGAGAGACUCAAAGUUGUUGGUUAUUUCACGCCUAUCCCUGCUGCAACCUCUGAAAACCCUUCUCAGUGGGUUAACCCAAACAAAUCUUGUGCAUACCACUCCGGCAUGAAAGGGCACACCAUCGAUGAAUGUCGUUCCUUGAAAGACAAGAUCCAGAAUUUAAUUGAUAAUAAUAUUAUUAUGGCAAAGGAACCCACUCCAAAUGUCCGUAACAACCCCCUGCCAUACCACACGGGUCGAGGUAUCCACAUGAUUGAAAUAGAGGAUAAUUGGGAUACCGAGGGAUCAAUCGGGUUGAUCGCAGAAGGUGAUGACCCAAAGAAGCCAAUAGUUACUCUUAAUCCAAUCAUAGUCCAAAUUCAACCAUCUGGAGGCCCUGAGGUAAAUAUGUCUGUGCCACUUGAAUUUGAAGCAACAUCGCCUGCAAAGACACCAGCACUAAUUGAGGUCGAACUCGUGUCUCUAGCAAAUACAUUGUCACCGUUUGAAGUCGCAAUUUUACCACCCAAGUCACACGAUCCAUUCAGAUUAAGGAAAGCCACACCAAUCCUAGUGGCAAUGUUGGCCAUGACACCAUUCCAUACAAAGGUUGUAACCAGGGACUAUACAGCUGAGGCAAGGAGGAAAGACAAGGUCAGGUUCGAAGAGACUAUUGCAGCACAAGGUUGACAAGACCUGGUAGAGUCUGUACCCCGAGCAUCUAGCUGAGUCAAGCAACUAGGACUCCAACCGGCCACUCAUCAUUGAGACAGGUCCAGACGACCUUUGGAGAAAGAUACAAGCCAAGGAAUACUCAGUCAUCAACCAGUUGAACAAAACACCAGCGCAAAUCUCCAUUCUUGCUUUGCUACAAAAUUUUGAGGCACACAAGAACGCUCUAUUAAAGGUGCUGAGUGAAGCAUACGUACUAGGUAACAUCACUGGCGGGGAAAUGGCUAACAUGGUAGGACAAGUUCUGGAGAGCCAUAAGAUCACCUUUCAUGAUAGAUGUUCCAGCAUCUUACAACUUGCUGCUGGGACAGCCAUGGAUUCAUGUUGCUUGGGCCGUAGCAUAAACCCUAAAUUAGGCAGUAAAAUUCUAAUGGAAUCACCAAGAGGUGAUCAUCCGGUGACGGUAGCAACCCUAUAUACAGUUGCCAAACCAUUCUAGCAAUUGAAGGAAGAAGGAAACUUACCAUCCGGUGACGGUGGAGAGACUUACCAUCACAUUGAACGGGUAAAUGCUGUUGACAAGGAUAAAUGGUGGGAUAACAAAAUCGAUAGUAUUCUGAAUUUGAGAGGGUACGAGCUUGGCAAGGGGCUCAGCAAAAACCUCCAAGGAAUCACUAAGCCCAUACAACUCAAGAAGCAUGGCACUACUUUUGGUCUAGGAUAUGACUACACAUGGGAAGAACUCAACAACUGGUCGCCACCACGGUGUGGUCCUUACUAUCCACUUGAGCAACCAAUAACACGUUUGGAGCAGUCUUUCCAACAGGCUGACAUCGUUUAUGGGUCGGACGAAGAAGAAGCACUUGCAACGGUAAAGAAUUUGUUCCUAGAAGACAAUGAUAUGAACUGUUGUAUUGUUCUCAAGGAGGAGGGGAGGAAGGCCCUUCCAUACAGGCUGUGAGCAAAGGGGAACGCCUCAAUAAUUGGACCAUCCAGACAACCAGAGCCCGAUGAGCCUCGGGGUAGCAAGGCUAAAACAAGCAUCAUUGAUUGUUUUAUUUACUAAAUGAUUUUCUUUUCGCAUUUUUCAAUUCCCGCAGUAAAAUCUUCGAUGUUCAAAACUGUUAUGCAAUUUAUCAAAGCAUUUUGACUUUUCUUGUGAAUCAACACUCAUUACCAUUUUCUCUCAUUACUUUACUUAUACAGCAUUACUAUUAUUUAUCUUGAUGAACCAAUGAUUGUGACAUGCAAUGAGACAACGCAACAAACAAACAUUGAUUCAGAGGAAGAUAACAUACCUGACGAGAUUGUUAAAGAAGUUGAGAACUUCAAAAACAGACCUAAGUCCAACCUAGACGAGACAGAAAUUGUUAACUUGGGAGAUGCAGGAAACGUCAAGGAAACACGAAUCAGCGUUCACUUAUCGCCAUCAGAAAAGAAGGAAUACAUAGAAUUUCUAAAGGAAUAUGAGGACAUAUUCGCCGGGUCAUAUGAUGACAUGAUUGGUCAGAGUACGUCUAUUGUGGCGCAUAAACUGCCAACCGAUCCGACAUGUCUGCCGGUAAAGCAAAAGCUCAGAAAAUUCAAACCUGAUAUGAGUUUGAAAAUCAAGGAAGAAGUCACUAAGCAAGUCAAAACUAAGGUUCUCAGGGUAAUGGAAUACCCGACAUGGUUAGCCAACAUCGUGCCAGUGCCAAAGAAGGACGAAAAGGUCAGAGUUUGUGUCGACUACCGAGAUAUCAAUCGGGCCAGUCCGAAAGACGACUUCCCUUUGCCAAAUAUACACAUCCUGAUUGACAAUUGCGCCAAGCAUGAGCUGCAAUUAUUUGUAGAUUGUUUUGCAGGUUAUCAUCAGAUUUGGAUGGAUGAAGAAGAUGCUGAGAAAACAACUUUCAUUAUGCCAUGAGGGAUGUACUAUUACAAGAUGAUGUCGUUCGGCCUAAAGAAUGCAGGGGCCACCUACAUGAGGACCAUGACUACCAUUUUCCAUGAUAUGAUACACAAGGAGAUUGAGGUAUAUGUAGAUGAUGUCAUCGUCAAGUCCAAGAAGGACACUGAUCACAUGGAAGAUUUGAGGAAGUUCUUCAAUAGAUUGCAGAGGUAUAAUCUGAAACUGAAUCUCGUGAAGUGCACAUUUGGGGUUCCUGGUGGAAAAUUGCUUGGGUUUAUUGUGAGUCGCCGAGGAAUAGAACUGGAUCCAUCAAAAGUCAAUGUUAUUUAAGAAUUGCCACCGCCAAAGAACAAGAAGGAUGUGAUGAGUUUCUUGGGAAGACUUAACAUCAGCCAGUUCAUAGCAUAGUCUACAGUUAUCUAUGAGCCAAUCUUUAAGAUGUUGAAUAAGGGAGUCGCCACCAAAUGGACCGAUGACUGCCAAAAGGAAUUCGACAGAAUCAAGGAGUACCUGUCAACACCACCAAUUUUGGUCCCGCCCGAGCCAGGUAGACCCUUAUUACUCUACCUUGUAGUAUUGGAUGGAGCUUUCGGUUGCAUUCUGGGGCAACAUGACGAAACGGGGAGGAAAGAGCAGGCCAUCUAUUAUCUCAGUAAGAAGUUCACCCUGUACGAGGAUCGGUAUUCUCUGUUAUACCACACUUAUUAUGCUUUGACUUGGGUAGCUCAAAAGCUGAGGCAUUAUUUCUGUGCCUAUACUACAUAUCUCAUAUCAAGGAUGGAUCCUUUGAAGUACAUCUUUCAGAAGCUCAUACCCACUGGCAAGCUAGCCAAGUGGCAAAUCUUGUUGAGUGAGUUUGACAUUGUUUAUGUAAUUCAAAAAGCGGUAUACCACCUUAAUGAGAAUCCCAUGGAUGGAGAAUACGAACCCCUAAAAAUAUAUUUUCCUGACGAAGAGGUAUCAUUCAUAGGAGAAGAUAUUAUAGAAUCCUAUGAUGGUAGGAGAAUGUUUUUCGAUGGAGCAGCAAAUUUCAAAGGAGUUGGUAUAGGAGCAGUCCUAGUAUCAAAAACCGGUUAGCAUUAUCCGGUGUCUACCAAACUCAGGUUCCUGUACACCAAUAAUAUGGCCGAGUAUGAAGCUUGCAUCUUAAGACUCAAAAUGGCUAUUGACAUGAACAUUCAAGAGUUGGUGGUGAUUGGAGAUUAAAACCUACUUAUAUAUCAAGUGCGAGAAUAAUGGGCUACUAAGAACUCCAAGAUACUCCUGUAUCUACAUCAUGUAUAGGAACUGAUAAAGAGGUUCAUGAAGACGGAGUUCCAACAUGUUCCCAGAGUCCAGAAUGAGUUCGCCGAUNNNNNNNNNNNNNNNNNNNNNNNNNNNNNNNNNNNNNNNNNNNNNNNNNNNNNNNNNNNNNNNNNNNNNNNNNNNNNNNNNNNNNNNNNNNNNNNNNNNNNNNNNNNNNNNNNNNNNNNNNNNNNNNNNNNNNNNNNNNNNNNNNNNNNNNNNNNNNNNNNNNNNNNNNNNNNNNNNNNNNNNNNNNNNNNNNNNNNNNNNNNNNNNNNNNNNNNNNNNNNNNNNNNNNNNNNNNNNNNNNNNNNNNNNNNNNNNNNNNNNNNNNNNNNNNNNNNNNNNNNNNNNNNNNNNNNNNNNNNNNNNNNNNNNNNNNNNNNNNNNNNNNNNNNNNNNNNNNNNNNNNNNNNNNNNNNNNNNNNNNNNNNNNNNNNNNNNNNNNNNNNNNNNNNNNNNNNNNNNNNNNNNNNNNNNNNNNNNNNNNNNNNNNNNNNNNNNNNNNNNNNNNNNNNNNNNNNNNNNNNNNNNNNNNNCCAAUAAAGAAUCCACUUAUUAGUCCAGCUUACUGUGCCAAUGUUGAAGAAGAAGCAGACGGAAAGCCUUGGUUUCAUGAUAUCAAGUAAUAUUUAGGAAAAGGAGAAUACAUAGAGCGUGCAUAUCCUACUCAAAAACAUGCACUUCGGAGAUUGGCCAACAACUUCUUUCACAGCGGAGAAAUCCUGUAUAGGAGGACUCCUGGUUUGGGACUAUUAAGAUGUGUUGACACAAAGGAAGCAUCCAGGCUACAAGAGGAAAUUCAUGCUGGGACCUGCGGGCCACAUAUGAACGGUUUUGUCUUAGCAAAGAAGAUACUCCGGGCUGGUUACUUUUGGAUGACCAUGGAAACAGACUGCAUCUAGUAUGUUCGGAAAUGCCACCGUUGUCAAAUACAUGCAGACAUGAUAAAGGUACCUCCAAAUGAGCUUAAUGUAACAAGCUCACCAUGGUCGUUCGUCGCCUAGGGAAUGGAUGUUAUUGGACCAAUCGAGCCUUCUGCUUCCAACGCGCACAAGUUUAUCCUAGUAGCAAUUGAUUAUUUCACCAAAUGGGUCAAAGCAGCAUCUUAAAGAGCAGUAACUAAGAAAGUCAUGGAAGACUUUGUCCGCGACCGCAUUGUUUGUCGAUUCGGGAUUCCAGAGUUGAUCAUUACUGAUAAUGGCUCCAACCUCAAUAGUGACUUGAUGAACUCCAUGUGUAAAACCUUCAAGAUCAAACACAAGAAUUCCACAGCCUACAAGCCUCAAAUGAAUGGAGCUAUAGAAGCCACCAAUAAGAAUAUUAAGAAGAUAUCGAGGAAAAUGAUAGAGAAGCAUAAACAAUGGCACGAGAAGUUAUCAUUUCCUCUAUUGGGGUAUCACACCACAGUCCGCAUAUCAACCGGGGCAGCCCCCUAUAUGCUGGUUUAUGGCAUAGAGGCUAUCAUUCCCGCUGAGGUAGAAAUUCCUUCCCUAAGGAUUAUACAAGAAGCUGAGUUCGAUGUGCAGAGUGGGUAAAGAGUCAUUAUGAGCAACUAGCCCUUAUAGAUGGAAAGAGAAUGAAUGUAGUUUGCCAUGGCCAACUCUAUCAGAAGAAAAUGUCCAGAGCCUUCAACAAGAGAGUCAAGCCAAGUUAGUUCACACCGGGGUAGCUGGUGUUAAAGAAAAUUUCUCCGCCUUAGGAUGAAGCCAAAGGAAAUUUCUCUCCCAACUGGCAGGGUCCAUACAUGGUUCACCGGGUUCUGACAGGAGGAUCCCUCAUACUUGCAGAAAUGGACAGAGAAGUCCGACCAAAUCCGAUCAAUUCAAAUGCAGUCAAGCGCUACUAUGUGUAAUCUUUAUGCUUUCCUUAUAUGAUAUUAAUUGAACUACGUCUGACCUGAUUCCUGUUUAAGUGGGGAUACGUAGGCAGCCCUAUGAGUUCGGUCACAAUUCAAUAAAAUUGUCAUUUCCCCCAGCAAUUGGAAACUGGGGCAGAAUUUUGAGGAGGACACUCAAAAUUCCAAAGUAAUUUCAGUCGAUCGUCGCAAGCAACAGUCAGAAGCAUCAACCCAUUAAACUAGGGUAGAAUUUUAAGGAGGACUCUCAAAAUUCCAUAGCAAGAGAGGUUGCAAUGUCCUGAACCACGUCACAGUCUCCGGUUCAUCUAGAAGCUAUCUUAACUAUAUACUUAUGUCAAUACUUUACAAAAUCAUGCAUGUUUAUUAUCGAAACUGCUUUGUUUAGCAACGCUACCACAAUGAUACAGACAAUAUCACCAGAUCAAAGCCGAGCAUGUCAAGCAAAGCCAGCGGGGAUACGAACUAACCUCUCCCCUUUACAAAACUCACUAUUUUUCUUUGGAUGCAGACACUUGGAUUGCGAAAUCACUGAACACACUAUACACCUAUGGGACAAACAUUAUUCAGGAAUACGCCCACCUAACUGUUACAUUUACAAACAUUUGCUAUCAACAUACAUCGAUGAUGCCCUGUAUGUCACAAUGAUCCCAAUAAUCGCAACACCGCAAUCUGCUAUUAACUAAGAAACUCUACUACCAUUUGCCAUUUUAUUUUUUGCAUAAGGCUACCAUUCUGCCUUCCGAGACUAAACAUUGUCUCUAUUUGCAUCUGUAUUGCAUAAGGCUACUAUUCUACCUUCCAACUUGCAUAAGGAAACCAUUCUGCCUUCCGAGGUUUAGCUCUACCUCCAUCUGCAUUCCUACAUAAGGCUACCUUUCUGCCUUCCAACUUGCAUAAGGCUACCAUUCUGCCUUUCGAGGUUAAGCUCUGCCUCUACCUACAUUAGCAUUACAUAAGGCUACUAUUCUGCAUUCCAAUUUGCAUAAGGCUACCAUUUUGACUUCCGAGGUUAAGCUCUAACUCCAUCUACAUUCCUGCAUAAGGCUACCUUUCUGCCUUCCAAUUUUCAUAAGUCUACCAUUCCGCCUUCCGAGGUUAUGCUCUACCCCCAUCUGCAUAUUUACAUAAGGCUAUCAUUCUACCUUCCGAGGCUAAGCUCUGCCUCCAAUUUCCUUCGAAACUAAGCAGUAUCUCAAGCAUCAUUUAUUUUGUUUCUAUUACAGGCUAAGCUCUACCCUUCAAUUUGCAAGACUAAGCUUUGUCUUGUCCGCAUCAUGCUACUGCAUCUUAUGGCUUAAAGAUCGCCACAUACUACAUCUCAUGGCUGAAAGAUCUCCUCAUACUGCAUCUCAUGGCUGAAAGAACGCCAAAUACGGCAUCUCAUGGGCUGAAAGAUUGCCAAAUACUGCAUCUCAUGGGCUGAAAGAUCGCCAAAUUAUCCAAAGGCGUCAUCUUCAUAGCCCGAGAACACCAUGUCAUGGCCUGAGGAUCCCCUUUUAAUCUUUUGCAAUCAUUAUUCAAAGGCAUAAUGGUUCAGAGGCACCAUCCUCAUAGCCCGAGAGCAUCAUUUCAUGGCUUGCAAAUCCUUUAUAGUACGCUUCAUGGCCCAGGAUGUCAUGGUCUAAAGGACGCCAUCCUAACCAUCCGAAGGCAACACUCAUGGUCCGACUAGAAUUUAUAUAUGUUUAAAUUUACACUCGAUAUACGCUUGUAUUAUUUCUAUUUGCAGGUACAUCGAAGAGAAACGGCCAUCCCAGCUGGAGCGAACCCGCUCCAGUUCCUGCAGCCACAUCAAACCUGACCAUUCCCAUAACCUUUCAUUUACCCGACCCUAGAUAUUGCGUUCGUCCUUGAAAAGUCUCGUCAGCCUACUCCGUCGAUGGAUCUUGAACUGCAUAUGGCUUGAUUCCUAUAAAACUAGGGAUAUGUAGGCAGCUCAAAAGCCAGGGUGCGGCCUAUCUUCUUCAAACUGUUUCGCUCAGUCAAAAUUGGCCAUCAUAUCUUUACCCGACAACUCUUUCAUCCUUCCCGGGUAAACAGGGGCAGCUGUUGAUACCCAAUGUUUCCCUAUAUAUUUUUCAAUAUGCAAAAUACCUUCAAAAUAGCAUAGAUAUAUAUGCAUACAUAAGCAUGUCCAAAUGUUUUAUUAUUUUUUCAUAAUUUUUAAAGGUUUUAAAUUCAAUUUAUUUCCCCCUUUUAUCCAUAAAAAAUCCCAAUAAUUAAUUCUAAAAUCAUUAUUUUGUUAAUUCAUUUGUUGGACUUUUAUAUUUAUGCUAAAAUAUAGCAAAGGUAAUUUUUACAAAUUUAUUUAGUAUUUUUUAAGAUAAAUUGCAUAUAAUUUCAAUAGUAGCCCUUUUAAGAUUCAAUUGUAUUUUAUACUCAUAAAAUUAAGUCAUAUAUUUUUAAAUUGUCAAUUAUAUGUUAUAAAUUAUUUUAGUGCUUUCAAUUUAUUUCCAGAAAUUAAUUUACUAUUUUUAUAAAUUUAAAAGGGGAAAAUUGGCUAUUUAAAUAAUAGCCCAAUUGCAUUUCAAUUGUAGCCUAAAUCUGAACCCAAUUUAAACCCAAUUUCCCGGCCCAAUUUCAAUUAAANNNNNNNNNNNNNNNNNNNNNNNNNNNNNNNNNNNNNNNNNNNNNNNNNNNNNNNNNNNNNNNNNNNNNNNNNNNNNNNNNNNNNNNNNNNNNNNNNNNNNNNNNNNNNNNNNNNNNNNNNNNNNNNNNNNNNNNNNNNNNNNNNNNNNNNNNNNNNNNNNNNNNNNNNNNNNNNNNNNNNNNNNNNNNNNNNNNNNNNNNNNNNNNNNNNNNNNNNNNNNNNNNNNNNNNNNNNNNNNNNNNNNNNNNNNNNNNNNNNNNNNNNNNNNNNNNNNNNNNNNNNNNNNNNNNNNNNNNNNNNNNNNNNNNNNNNNNNNNNNNNNNNNNNNNNNNNNNNNNNNNNNNNNNNNNNNNNNNNNNNNNNNNNNNNNNNNNNNNNNNNNNNNNNNNNNNNNNNNNNNNNNNNNNNNNNNNNNNNNNNNNNNNNNNNNNNNNNNNNNNNNNNNNNNNNNNNNNNNNNNNNNNNNNNNNNNNNNNNNNNNNNNNNNNNNNNNNNNNNNNNNNNNNNNNNNNNNNNNNNNNNNNNNNNNNNNNNNNNNNNNNNNNNNNNNNNNNNNNNNNNNNNNNNNNUAUUUUAUACUCAUAAAAUUAAGUCAUAUAUUUUUAAAUUGUCAAUUAUAUGUUAUAAAUUAUUUUAGUGCUUUCAAUUUAUUUCCAGAAAUUAAUUUACUAUUUUUAUAAAUUUAAAAGGGGAAAAUUGGCUAUUUAAAUAAUAGCCCAAUUGCAUUUCAAUUGUAGCCUAAAUCUGAACCCAAUUUAAACCCAAUUUCCCGGCCCAAUUUCAAUUAAACCUAACCCCAACCCAAUUAAACUGACCCAAACCCGGAUUCCCCACCUACGCUAUGAUCAACGACCACCGUUCCCCCUUACAUUGUAACCUUAAAUGACCCCUUACCCUACCUCAUUCUUCAGCAAACGCCGCCCUUGAAUUCUCUUUCCCUCUCAAUUCUCUCUAAAACCCUCAUGAACCCUAGCCACCGCCAUCUAAUCCCACCCUAAUACACCCUCAACCCCUACCUAAUCCAUGGCCUCUCAGGGUCAUUUGAGAUGUGUAUCAGCCUCAUAUGGCUCCUUGGUGUUUGUUUCUGUGGUUUCAUGGCCAGAACUGGAGGGAUCUGGUCCAGUCCAGUCCUUGCUCGUCUUCAGUUCAUGGCCUUUCUCCGGUCAUCCAUGACAUUUUUCCGGCCAUUCAUGGCCUCUCAAGGCAGAUCCUUGACUUGCCUGGUUAGAUCGGAAACUUUCAAGGUCUUUCUCAUCUUUUCUGGGUUUUCCGAAACCAUAAUCUUUAAGAUCUUUUGAUUUUUCUUUACGAUCUACCAUAGAUCUGUGCUUACCAUGAAUUUCUUAAGUGUUUUCUCGAAGGUUCUUCAACUUUUCUUUUAAAACAACUCUUCAUUUUUUCCGACGAUUAGGGUUUUCCUUUAAGUUAUUUCAAAAGAUCUCUUCUUUGAUUUUAAUGUGUUUGUGAUUUUGCUAUGUUUUUCUCAUGUUGUUAUUCUAUCUGUUUCAACAUGUUAAAACCGUAGUCCCCUUUUGGUCCUAUCCGAGUUCUGAAAUUGCUUGCCUAAAUGUAUAUUUGUUCUUUGUUUUUGACUCACUUUUCUUUGUUUGACUUGUUUGAUUUUUAGUUCUUAUCAUCUCUAAAACUCGACUACUGUCGAAGCCCUAAUUUUUGAAAAGGUUUUCCUCACUUGAUACUAUGAGACCUUUACUUGUUUCUGAUUCUGUUUACAUGUUGCUAUGUUUUCUUCACUGUUGAUUCUAUGUGACUACUUGACAUACUUGACUACUGUGUUUCGAAUAUUUUCCUUACUACUGAAUCCUAGCUUGCUUCUACCACUACUAUAUGAUUGUGUUAUCUCUUUUUCCAAUAUGUUUGGCCUCGUAUGUUUGAUGCUUUUGUUCACUCUAUUUGUAUACUAAAGUGCAGAAUUGUGUUUCUUCCUUGAUUGUCUUGAUCUGGUGACUAAUUGCAAAAGCUUUUCUUUUAUUACCCCUAAUUUCACUCGCCUGUUUAAAAUUAAUUGAUUCCUUUCCCCUUACUGUGAUGUUGUACCUUGCUGAAUCUUUUCCAAAAUAAGCAUAUCUUUGUACUUAGACUUGAUUGUUUACUUCAUGCUUUUACUACCCCUUUUAUGGCAAUAAUCAAUCUAUCUCCAAACUGAUUUUCUUUCCUUAAUUAGACUUGCUGCUACCCAUUAAACAGUGAUUCCUUAAUUAAAUGGAAUCAAAUGUGGUAAUUGAUUCUGAUUUGUGAUUGUUUCCAUGUUUGUGUUAAGACUUUAUUUAUUACUUUAUUCUUCACCUUUUUUGAAAAUUAUAAAUACCCACCAUCAUUUCUUUCAAAGACAACCCAUCUGAGUUCAGAACACACACUUCGCUCAAAAGUCUCUCUUUUCUCUACUACUACUCGUGUUACUGCUUUGUGUAGCCGGCUGAAAGCCAAAACUAGGCUAUGAAAAUUUGCUUACUUUUCCUUUCUGCAACUUUGCUUCUUACUAGUAUGUCCUAGNNNNNNNNNNNNNNNNNNNNNNNNAGCACUGCCCGGGGUCCCUUGAGACUAUUAGGGAACUUUGAUACACUCAGGUCUGAGAAAGGCUUUGAACAUCAUUGGCAUUUAAGGUGGUUUAUUCCAUAACUUAAAGAGGAAUUCAGCAACAGGCUUCCUAUGGUUGUAACUUCUUAUUUUGCUUUUCUGGUGUAAUUCAUUCAUUUUUGGUCUGUAAUGAUUUGUAACAAAUAUUGGGGUUGGCUAGUGAAAAGGGAUGGGGUAAUUAUGCAUGUUUUAGCUAUUAGGAGGGUAGAUAACAUGCCUAUGAGAUCUGUUUAAUAAAUUCUGCAUGUUUUACUUCCACACUUAGAUAACAUGCCUAUAGGAUCUGUUUAAUAAAUUCUUCAUAUUUCACUUCCACACUUAGACACCAUGCAUGUAGGAUUUGAAAUCAGACAUCAUGUCUAUAAGAUUAAAAUCAGUAUUUCUAUAGAAAUCAUGCCUAUAGGACUUUCGCUUUAAUCAAAUAAAUCCUGCCUACUUCACUGCAUGUUCAAUUAAAUACCAUGCCUAUAGGUCCAAAAUCAACUUUUAAUACGUAGAUACCAUGUCUAUAGGAAUUAAAAUCACCUAUAAUAGAGAUCAUGCCUAUAGGAUCUUAAUUAGUCUAGUUAAAAUCAGUUCGACUCAUGCUUGUCUAAAUCAGAUUAAAUAGUUCACUCUCUUUGUGUUAAUUAAUACGUUUUAGAAAGCAUGCCUAUAGGAUCCAAAUCGCCUUUUUAAAAUUAACCAUUGCUUUAUGGCAUUCCUAAUCAGUAAUAUACAUCUUGCUUAUAGGACAUCACCAAUACACAUUUAGGCAAGCCUUAGGUAAUAAUGAUAAAACUGAACUCGCCUUUGCUUAAUUAGCAACUGCUACAACCAGCAGGCAGGCCCGAUUUAGACUCCUUAUAUGAUUUAUGUAAUAAAUUGGUCUUGUUCAACAAUUAAAACACCCCUGCCUUAGUACUUUAAAUUCUGACCCUAAAUGUGUGUAAGUCAUGCUAUUUAUAUGCAUUACUUGAGGAGGUAUAUAUGAGCCUCUUAGUUGUUUAUAUGAUUCCCCUAAUAUACAAUUCUAUGUGUUUUGAAUGUCGCCUUAGUCUUUUUACCUUUAAAAAUUUAAGAGUCAGCCUAAAAUCUUUCCUCUAAUAGGAAUUAUAGUCCUAAAUUCCUCCGGGACUGAUAGGAAUGGGACGGGUAAUAGCAUGCAAGAGGUCGAGACCAAUCCACGCUUUAAUACCUUAAUGGGAUGGGAAGGGUAGAUAUAGAUAUGAUGAUCGGUGUGCUAAUACCACGUGUAUCCCCUAUUCUGAGGAGUGUCAUACCGGGUAUCGCAUUGAUGUGAUCCACAUUGUAAAUAAACCUACCGACCCCCCCCCCCUCUUUCUUUUAUAUUCUCAGGUAUUUGUAGAACUAUAAGUCGUUUUUUUUAAAUUUUCCUUUUAAUUAUUUUCAAACUUUUAUGUGUUCAAACUCAAAUCCCCUACUACUUGAACCUAUACUUGUCUAUCUACUAAUUGUACAAAAAUUCACAAAAACUGUCUAGCCGGGAACCACACUAGUGGAUCCUGAGGGGUGCCUAACACCUCCCCCUUAGGAUAAUUUCAAGCCCUUACCCUAUCUCAGGUUAUCAAAUAAACUUAGAAAUGAACCCUAUAGGUGUCCUAAUGCACCUUAAAUAAUUAGGAGGCGACUCUUCAAAUGCAAAACCUAGUUCGCAAAAAGAAUGAGUUGUCAUAUACCCAAAAUGUCAUAAACCCGAUUUUCCAAUGCGAAGAGGGAAAAAAGGGGCGCUACACUCGUGGCAACGCUUCAUUUCAAGUGGAUAUGAUCACGAAGCUCGAGUCUGAACUUUUGAAGGUCAGGGUUGAGAUCGUUGAUGCACGGGCUGAAACAACACUGAGCCGUACUAAGGCCGAUCAGGAGAUGGCAGUUCAUUUAAAGGAUGCUACCGAUGCCCAAGCCGAGUUGAAGAGGGUCCUCGAUCGUGAAAAGAGGAUCAAAGAAUAUGCUCAGUUUAGAUCCCAAAGAAGGGUACUUGAGGAGAUCGGCGCCAGGGGUUUUGUUCUCCCGGAAGAGUUGGCGCGAGCGAGGGUGGACGAGCGUGACGCUUGGUUACUCCUAUCCAGCGUUGAGGAGAGCGAAGACGAGGUUGAUAGGUUGUAGCUCUCAGGGGCGGGGCGUAUACAUUGCCAUCUUGUACGUGAUAUUUCCAGAGCGCGUUUGUAUAUGGAGGAUGCACUUUUUCAUGUAUGUAAAUAGAAGAGAACUUGAAGCUUUAUUUCUUGUGUACCCCUUUCUGCUUCGCCUCUGACUAGGUGGACUGGUUUCGGGGUUGGUGAGAAUCCUUAGAUUCGUAAUACGGCCCCGGGGCUCAUCAGGUAGGCCCGAGGGCUCUUACGCAUUUAGUCGAUGCGGCCUUUAGUGUAAGCUGGCGUUAGAGAUCUUAUGCUUUUGCUCAACUAAUUUGGGUUUAGCCUCCGAGUCAGGCUUCAACUCGAGCCCAUUCAACCCUCAAGCUUCUAUGUCUACAUGGGCGGGUGACAACGGCUCUUACGCCUUGCCCUUUGGCAUUUGUAUUUUAACUAUUUUGGGUUCAGUCUCCGAGUCCGGUUUCGACUCGAUCACAAUUGACACUUAAGUUCUAUGCCUUCGUGGCUUGGCGACAACGGCUCUUACGCCUUGGGUCGAAGCGACCUUUUAUGUAUGUGGCCCUGAGGCUCAUGAAGCUGGCAAUAAUGGCUCAUAUACUAUGCCCUUAGGCAUGUAUAGUUAACUAUUUUGUAUCUAAUCUCCGAAUCGGGUUAUGACACGAGCUCAUUUUGACCCUCAAGCUUUCAAAUUCUUAAGCUGGCGACGAUGGCUCUUACGCUUUUGGUCGAUGUGACCUUUUAGUGUGUGUGGUCCUAAGGCUUAUUGGGUUGGCGAUAAUGGCUCUUACGCUUUGCCCUUACGCAUAUGUAGGCUUUGCUUUCCUCUCAUUAAGGACUUUUUAAAAUGAUUUUGCCUAACCUGUCGUCGGUUCCGGUGAGAACCUUGAUUUCAAGUCAUUGGCGGCGAUGUUCGAGCACCUCGGAAGGUUUAGCUCGUGGGCUGAGUAGCUCGAAGCCUUGUGAUUUGGAGCUGAGAUGGUCGAAGCUCUUUUGCCUGUCGAGGGUAGCCUGUUUAACCGAUUAUUUUCGAAGUAGAUUCGAAGUAAUGUCCUAUAAUUUUAUAGUGACGGUCGGCCGUCCCCGAGUCGUGUUAAUUCGUCUGGUGCAGCCGUACGACUGUAGUCAUUUGUGUUUGGCCGGAGCCAUUUUUGAUCCCCAGUGUAGUGCUUUAGGCAUAUACAUCGAGGGUAUGGCCUUUCGGGAGUCCUACAAAUGCGACAUAUAGCCUAAAAUUUGGGAAUGAGUUUAUUCCUGUAGUAAGGUCUUACAAAAUUUUCAUGCCUUUUGAGGUCUUACAGUAUUUUCAUGCCUAUUGAGGUCUUACAAUAUUUUAAUGCCUGUUGAGGUCUUACAGUUUUUCCAUGCCUGUUGAGGUCUUACAGCCUUUUCAUGCCUGUUGAGGUCUUAUAGUUUUUUCAUGCCUAUUGAGGUCUUACGGUUUUUGUCAUACCGUUGAGGUCUUACAGUUUUUUCAUGUCAUUGAGGUCUUAUAGUUUAGUUGAUACUUUAGAUAGGUCUUGCUAGAUCGAGUUUGCCCGCUUGGGGUCUUAUGGCCUCGAGUUUUUAAGUGAAUGGCGAUUGGAGAUAGUCUGUGAGUAAUUGAGUUUUCUUAGGCUCGGAGGUCAUUACUCACGAGCUUGGAAUUGCCUCAUUGAGGGCUUAUGAUUUUUUGAGAUUCCGACCCUGGGAUCGUGUGCUUUCUGAGUUUGCGAUGCUUGUCUCUGAGUGCUCGGGACAUUUUUCCUAUUUGGAGAUGCUUCGUAAUUUCCGUGCUGCCUUGCUGAGGGCUCAUGAGCAUGGAGUUCUAACACUUAGGCCUUAUAGACACUGAAUUAUUGAUGCUAGUCUCUGAGUGAUUCGGGCAUUCUCGAUGGAGGGAUCUUUGCUAUGAAAAUGCUGAAUUUUCUUUAGAGUAAGAGACGCUUUUGGGCAGAAGAUAUUCUUUGAUUGUUUGGCAUAAGUACAUGUUGUUUUGCUGCCGUAAGCCCGACUUAUGUGGACACAUUUGUUCGACCAUUUCGCCCGGUACAUCAUUUCCUAUUGGAACCUUGUUUGUCGUUCCCUAGUUCUUCUAAGGGGAUGGCCUCUCAAAGGGGUGCCCUCUAGUGUUCGUGGUUGAUUUGCAAAAGAAGACCUAUAAGCUUGUCGGAUCCACCUUUGGUAGCACGUUGCCCCGAUAAGAACCUUGCCAGUGAAACCCUCUUCGGGACAAAAGCUCGGGAAAGGGAAAGAGUGCAAUGGAUGCCAUUAAGUCCUUGGAAUCUUCGGGUUAGGUUAACACUUUUGACUGCCAUGACCGAGCAUCUGCAUAUGGGUUAGUGUAAGGUAAUGAAAGAGGGAAGUGGUUUUACCUUAUCGUGGGGUGUGCAGGCGAUGUCCCGAGGCCUGAUGCGUCCCUGUUGUUUGGAGCGAGGACCUGGUACGUUUCUCCGAUGUGUUUAAUCAGGCUUAGCUGAAGACGUAGUUUGAUUACACUUUGACUCUUUUGAGAAAGGAGAUAUUAGUGCCGAUGCUAUGUUACGUAACAUGAACACUUCCCUUGCAGUAUGUUAUUCCCCGUAAACGGUUUUAAUUUCGUCCUAUGCUAGAUUUAUUAUUUGGUUAAGAGGGAUGGUACCGCUUUCAUGUGGUGUGUUCCCGGCCAGCCUAAUAAGGCGUUUGUACCUUGUAUCUCCUUUGAUGACAUGGAAUUUGGCGUUCUGGUCUGCGUCGGCCAUGCUGACUGAGAGAAUGGUCUCUCCUUUCGUUAUUUCGAUCACCGUGUUGAAUCCGUCAAGGCUUCGAGAGGCGGGCAUGAUUUGGCCUGGCAGUCCGAGCUGCUGUAUCUCCCUUGACCCGAUAAUGUUGGUCGAGCUACCUGAAUUCACGAGCACAUGUUUUACUUGAAAUGAACAAAUAAGAAAGAAGGUUACCAGUGCAUUGUUAUGAGGUUAGGGCCAGGGUUUGGAGUCUUCCUCGCCGAACAUGAGGGCAUCUUCGGGUAUGUAUCCGCAAGUCUAUUUUUCUCUAGUGAUAGACAUUUUUGUGUUCCUCUUCACAAGUUCACGGGGAGUGUCGAUGCUCCCCCAAAAUCAUGAUAGCAUGUCGUGGCCCAUUCGAUUCGUCCUUUUUAGCUGCCUUUCUUUCUUGGAACUGAACAUGAGCCCGAUCGCUCAAGUGUUCUCGGCGGUGACUUUUACUGAGUAGCUUGGCUAUUUACUUACAAAGCUAGUGGCAAUCUUCGGUCCUAUGACCGUGCACAUUAUGAAGCUCACAUACCAAGUUGUGAUUUCUCUGGGAAGCACCCGAGUGAAUAUCUUGGUCCAUUUGAUGUCCCUGAUUUUGCUGAUGGUGAACACGAUGUCUGAUAUAGCAACAUUGGUUGUAAUCUAAUAUGCGAGGUGCCCCCAUUGGUCUCGUGUCUCCAUCGAAUCUGGCUCUAUUGAUGAGCCUUUGAGAAUAUUGUCCUCGAUCCAUUCUCCGACCGUUGCGAGGUAGGUUGCGCCUCAGGGCAUUCCUCCUAUCUUCUGUGUACAGCUGGUAUCUUUCCUUGUUUGGUUUCGGUUCCUUUGCCAGGAGCCUGCUUGGGUAUACUGAGCCCCUAGGGGUCUCCCAACUGGUCAUCCUCGACCCUGAUUUUUGACUGGUACCAGUUCUGGACGUCCGACCAGGUCAUAGCUGGAUACUCGUUCAAGUCAUGUUUCAAUUGUUCUGAAGCCACUGAGCUUGGUUCAUUCAGGCCUUGAGUGAAGGUCUGCACCGCCCAAUCGUCAGAGACUGGGGGUAGUUCUGUUCGUUCCGUUUGGAAAUAAGGUACGAAUUAUCCUAGCAUUUCAUUCUACCUUUGCUUAAUCUUGAAUAGGUCGGACUUCCUUGUUGCUACAUUGAUGGCACCGGCGUGUGCCUUUAUGAAGAAAUCUACUAGCAUGGAAAAUGAACCUAUGGAGUUGGGAGUUAGGAUGUGAUGCCACAUCAUGGCCCCCUUCGAGGUCGUUUCUCCGAACUUCAUCAACAAUACAAACUCGAUCUCGUCAUUUUUUAUGUCGUUGCCCUUUACCGUGCAUGGAUAGGUAGUGACAUGUUCGUUGGGAUCUGAGGUCCCAUUGCAUUUUGAGAGUUCUGUCAUUCUGAACUUCUUUGGAAUGGGUUUCGGAUCCGCUUCCUCUAGGAAUGGCCAUCAUAUGAACUUCUUCGAAUCUACACCCUUCAAGAUCGGGGGUGCGCCCGGGAUUUGGUCGACUCUGAAGUUAUAGGUUUCGACCUUCUUUUCGUCGGCUGCUAUCAUUUUCUCGCUCGAAUCAAUCCUUUUUGUGAGGUCCUCCAGCAUUUUUACGAUGGUAGGAUCGGCUACUGAUCCGUUGUUGCUCAAUCUCUACGGUACCUGUUCGGCCGGGGGAGUAGUAUCCAGUACUACUGUGCUGGGAGUCUUCAGGUGGCUUUGCAACUGAGCGAUAGCCAACUGUUGUGCCUGCAACAUUUCAAAAAUAACACGACGACUAACUUCCUGCUCUUCCCAGGAUGGGGUUUUUUGGGCGUCCUAUUAGCCGCCAUGUUGUAUGCUCUGGUCGGUGUGUGAGGUUUCAUUGACAUGUUGCACGUCUUGCAAAUCCACGUCCGUUGGAAUAGGUCCAGGUGCGUUAUCGGGGUUUUGUGGUGGCGCGCCAAUAACUGGAAUGGACAUACAACUUUCUCUGUGGUUUCAAGGUUGUCGUUCUCUACUCUGUUCACUGAGCCAGACAUUUUGACCUAAACUCAAAGAUCAUGGACAAGAAAAGUGUAAAAGAUAACUUGCAUUGUGUAAUGAAACCAGCAAGAAAAUAAUCAUUAUUAUUUUUAGCUCCACGGUAGGCGCCAAACUAUUUACCGUGAAAAUGCUAAUGACAAUUAAAUUUUUUGAUGGGACUCUAAAAAUACGUGAUCUAUUUUUAUGCUAGUUGUUAGAGCAGUUGAUGCUAGAUACGUGAUGAUAAAGAUGAAAUGAGAGCUAAAACAACGUUACAAUCAAACCGACGAGUUAGCUAUCCGUGCCUCAGGCUAACCGAGGAAGGGCCUCGAGGUCGAUGCCUGGGCUCGAGCUCGAGCUAUCGGGGGUAACUGGGAAGGGACUAACAGUUAGGAUAUAAUGCUCUUUAUGGUCAAUAUCAAGCAAUAAAUGAAGAACAAACACAAAAACAAAAAAUGAAAUUGGUAGUCUCGAGCGAGUAAGUUAGAGAGAAAAGAGAGAGUGAGUUGUUAUUGAUCUUGUGUAGAAUGGUUGGAGCAACAGCAGCCCCUUACAAAGUGAGAAGGAUUCCCUUUAUAUAGGAGGAGAAUCCCAUCUUAGUACAAAAUACAUUAAUUGUAAAGGCUUGGAGAUGGGACGGCUAGACGUGACACCUUGAUACAAGCUCCAGGUAGGUCGGCUUCGUCAGAGUUAGCCGUGUGCCUUGGGAAUCCCCUAUUUUUUUCUAGCCUCGAUCAAUAUUCUCUUUGGGCCGAGCCUCGACGAGCUUCGAGGGAGGGAACUUGUUCACAGCUUCGCGACCUCGAGGUCUCGAGGUGUUAUUCUGAAGUGACUUGAUAGCAAGAAAUUGGACUCUUUUAUUUCGCUGCAUACACAACCCAAAACACAAUUUAAAUGAUAAAAAUAAAGACAAAAUUCAUGGAAUAUAUUUAAUUAUAGUUGAAUAAAAUUUACACAAUAAAAUGUCGUGAAAAAUCCACCAAAUAUCGCCAAGAACCGAGCUCUACAAGUCAAAAUGUGAUGAAAAUGGUGAAACCCUUGAUUUUGGAAUAUAUUUUGUCUACCCAGGUUUUUGUGCAGCACGAUCACGGAAGAAGAGACGCGAUCGCAUAGAAGGAAAAUAUCUACUGACCAAAACGUGCUACGCGAUCGCGGAAGGUCUUAUGCGAUCGCGAAGUGAAGGAACUAUCUGCUGCCCAAGGCCACACUUUACGAUCGCGAAGCAGGGGAUAUGAAUGCGGAUACUAGUGGACAGGGCUUACGCGAUUGUAUACUUAAAGACGCGAACGCGAUGAAGGAAAAAAAGGUUAACAGGACACUACGCGAUCGCGAUUUGAUCUACGCGAUCGUGAUCGUAAACACCAGACACCAGAUAUCAGCAAUCCAAAAAUAGAAAAAUUUGGCCCAUAGCCCAUCCGAAACCCACCCGAGUCCCUCGAGACCCCGUCGAAUCAUAGAAACAAGUCACAUAACCUAACACGGACUCGCUCGAGGUCUCUAAUCACAUCAAACAAUGCCAAAACGAUGAAUUACACCAUGAAUCGAACUAUGAACUUCUCAAUCUUCCAAAUUCGAAAACUUGUGUCGAAACCGAUAAAAUCAAUCCGGAAUGACGCCAAAUUUUGCAGAAAGGUCCAAAAUGACAUAUCGGAGCUGUUCUAACUCUCAGAAUCGCAUUCCGACCCCGAUAUCAAAAUUUCACUAUUGAUCCAAAAACUUCAAAAUUUCAACUUUCGGUAUUUCAAGCCUAAAUAAGCUACGGACCUCCAAAACACAAUCCGAACAUACGCCUACGUCCAAAAUCACCAAACGAAACAGUUGAGAUCACCCAAAACCCAUUCCGGGGCCGUUUACUCAAAAGUCCAACUCCGGUCAAAUUCUCACUGUCCAAACUUCCAAAACUAGAUUCCUUCUUCCAAUUUGACUCUGAAUCAUCCAUUCACUGAAUUCAACCAUGCACGCAAGUCGAUACUCAUAUUAUGAAGCUGUUUAAGACCGUAUACCGCCGAACAGAGCUUAAAUUCUCAAAACGGUCGGCUGGGUCGAUACAUCCUCCCCCUCUUAAAAACAACGUUCGUCCAUGAAUGUGCCAAGAUUUGCUUCGAAGUCUUCAAGUCACUGAAUGCACACUUCCAACAUACACCCACGGGUGAUCCCUCGUCACCCCAUUCCACAUAACCUGACGACAUCAUCCCAACUGAAAUUUAGCCUUUCUAACAAUACCAAUAAGCCUUAGGGUUAGAAUUCUCACCUCCAUCCAUUUCUAAGGACCCGAUGCUAAAUCCAUAUCCGAUAUCAGCCUCAACCUAUUACUUCAAUUAAUGUCGAAACCCAUAGGGUAAAACCACACAACAUGACACAUCACACAUAAGCCCACAAUAACAUUUCUGAUAACAAUAUCGCCUAAAAUCAAAUUCAGCACCGUCCAUAAGGCUCAUAUUCAAUAGGAGCCCAUUUCAAACCUCCAUAACAUUAGCGAUGAUACAAUGACCACGAAAGCCACAUAACUAAACACUCGAAGCACCAAAUCUCAACUAAUACCAACGGGCACACACCCCACAAGCUAAAACUCAAGAAGCACAGAACAAAAAUGACUGAAUAUGGAAAGGGAAACACAUAAGAGAACUAACAAACAAGCCCAACAAGCACAAAUUUUUCAAUCAAUACUAAUUUACAAAAACAAUCUAACAAGAAAGAACUAAAGCAUAUAAAAGAAUCACAAGGAUCUUAUACUAAUAUAACUUCCACCGCGGUACACAACCCGAUCUCAACACAUCAAAUCACAUGAAAUCACGAGGGUCUUGCCUCAACUCUGAAUCUCAAGUGUGGAACACAUCAAAUUAGCUGGAAACUCUCACUAGAUCAAUUCCAUCACAAUUUACACCAAGUACUGGCUCCCACACCGUUGGAGAAUAAACAUCAUGGAUCAUAUACAAAAUACUCAUAUAUCAUAUCAAGCCUACUAAAAAAGGACAACAGGAAUUUACUAAUAGUCUCACAACUCACAACAAUGAAUAAAAUAGACGAUCGACACAGGCUGUCACUCAUAAAUCCUCCCAACAUGGUAAUCACAUAAACAGGGUGCUAAUCAUGAAACGCACCCAUAAGUGGAGCAACAAAUAGGGGAACUCACCCCAAUAAGUAGAAUUGUAAUAACCUACGGAUGGUGCUCCUCUAUAACAAACUAAAUCAUAAUGGAAUGACAUUCAGAAGGCGUAGCGUCCUUAAGCCAACUAUAUGAAACACAUCAACAAACCGAGCCUCCUCCUCUUUAGCUCCUUCUACUCGCCUAAAUACCUCGCUGUAACACAUCGACCCGAUGUCUGAGACAAUCUCUCAGCAUAUGGAUAGUAUCUCCACACUCAAAGUAACCUCUCAGCUGAUGAGGCUAUAGGAACUGUGUGGUACAGGUACCCCGUGACCCAUGAAUACCUGAGUUACUAUGCAAAGCCUGAAGCACAAACUGAACUAGCUGACCCACAAAACCUCUACCAUGUCGCACCCUACCUCCAAAAUAAGGACCGACAAAUCUCCCCGGUCUACGAGACCUCCUCGCCUCCUCAAACUCUCUCUCUCGUGAUCUCGCCUCACCUCUCUCUCCUCCUUCUCUCAAGCGAUCAUGUCCUCCACCCUCCUAGAAAUACUCACGUUCUGCUGAUAUGAAAUAUCUAUCUCUAACUCCCAAGCCAUGCUAGUCCUAAUGUUGGGAUGGAGUCCCUUAAUAAAUCGGCGAACCCUCUAUCGAACAGUAGAAAUAAAGGUCAGUGCAUGUCUAGCAAAAUAACUAAAUCUAACGGCGUACUCUGAUACUGACAUAGAGCCCUGGUGCAGCUGCUCAAACUCUGCGUGCCAUGCACCCUAAAGGGACUGAGGUACGAACUCUCUCAAGAACAUCUCUGAAAAUUGAACCCAUGUAAGUGAAGCUGCAUCGGUCGGCUACCCAACUCAUGCGUUCGCCACCACUGAUAAGCCGCUCCGACAAGCUAGAACGUAGUAAAAUCAACCUAACUCGUCUCUGCAAUACCCAUAGUGUUGAUAAUGCGAUGGCACUCCUCUGUGAAACCCAUUGUGCUCUCUUAAUCCAACCCGCUGAAUGUAGGAGGGUCACAUUUUCUUGAACCUUGCAAAUCUAAGUUGUUCUCCCUUGGAUUCUGCUACCCUGACCAUGGGCUGAACUGGGACCACAAAUUAUGUCGCCAUGACACCUAGGACCUGACUAGUGGAAAGUCACUACUCUGAGUGUGGUCUAGUUGUGGCACAUACUCCUCAUUAGAACCUACCCCGUGAGCAGCGCCGUUGAUAACUGUAGCUCGUGUCCUCACCGUUGGUGAGAGAAUGGAGUGAUAAAAGUUCAAACUCCAGGAUCAAUAAGCUCGCACGAUAGGAAUGAAAGAAGUGAGAUUGUCCUAUUAGUUUCGUAUCGUCUCGAAGAUAAGUACAGAUGAAUUUGUACCGAUCCACAAGACUCUACUAAACUCGCUUAUGACUCGUAGCACCUAUGAACCUAAAGCUCUGAUACGAACCUAUCACGACCCAAUUUUUUCUCCAUUGGGUUUCGUGAUGGCACCUAGUCUUAAGGACUAGUUAAGCCUACUAAAAUGUGAAAUAACAACAAUAACUAAUAACAACUAGAAUUCCUCUGAGAUGAAUCCUUUAUACAAUGAACAACUUCCCAAAACCCGGUAGUACAAGUCAUAAUCUCUAUAGAGUUUCGCUAUAACUUCUCAAUAUGGAAUUAAGUACAACAAUGUGAAUAUAAAAUAGGAAGGUGACUCCGAAGCCUGCAAAUUCAGCAAUAGGUCUACCUUGAGUGUCCUCGGCAAGAAUCCGCACAGCUACUAACGAACAAUACUUGGAUCUGCACAAAAAAUUAUGCAGAAGUGUAGUAUGAGCACACCACAGUAGUGCUCAGUAAGUAUCAAGACUAACAUUGGUGGAUUAGUGACGAGGACAUAGUCAAGACACCUAUUAGUCUAAUAAGUAGAACAAGCAUAAGUAAAGAAAAUAACCGAACAUGAAAUCUAUAUAAAGACUAAGCUAUACUUCUACCAAUACAUAAACUACAAUAAGGAAAGGAAACAACAAGUAAUAGGGGAAAACUAUAAUAAAGCACAUAAAAGUGAACAAAUAAUGCAACCCAAACUUGAAAUCACAAGUACAGUAAGGGCAUGUCAUAACUCAGCAACUACGGCAGCCCUCGCCUUGCGUCUUAACCAGCAAGCAUCAAUCAAAUAAUCAAACUCUUAUCAAGUGAUAAAAAUUGGUUUGAAAUGUACUUCCUCCAAGUAAGCGUCCUUUUCAAAAGAGUUUCUUUCAAAAUAAUGCUUUCAUAUAUAAUCGUUUCCAAAAAGAGAAUCCUCCGAAUAUAAGUCACCCAUGUGACACCUUAUCUCAUACUCAUACAAUACGGGUCUCAAUACCUGAACCCUAACACUUGGCAUCAUGUGCCCUCAUCACCCCUCCAAAUCAUACUGACAACUCACGUGCCCAAAGAGUCAUCCUCACAUGGAAGGAAAAUAAACAAGGGGGUGUGUCUAUACUCAAAAAUCUCAAAGAGCCUCCUACCCGAUAAGGAUGAUUAACCAUGUGUAUCCUUGUGCAAGUGUUCUAACAUAGUUCGCACAAAAUAGUAAGUAUAAGGAAUGGAACGGACAUUACCCAUAAUGUUUACACAGAGAUGGAAUCAAUGAAAACAUCAGCUCAGAACACAAUAAUUUUAACAGGGGAUCUCCCAGGAUAUCGUCCUGUAGUCCAAAACAUAAUUAUGUGUGCUAGGGAUCUCUUGGUAUCCCGAGGAUAUCUUGGUACCCUCAAUAUAUAUACUAGGGAUCUCUUGGUAUCCCGAAGUUCCCUUGGUAUCCUCAAUAUAUGUACCGGGAAUCUUUUGGUAGCCCGAUGAUCUCUUGGUAUCCUCAAUAUAUGUACUAGGGAUCUCUUGGUAUCCCGAGGAUCUCUUGGUAUCCUCAAUAUACGUGUUGGGGAUCUCUUGGUAUUUCGCACUAAGCCAUAAUCAAUGUAUGUGCAGGGGAAUCUCUCGAGUACAGUCCCAUAGUCCCAAAAGUAAAUACGCAGCUCAACCAAUAGAAAUAACAGUCACAGCAUAACAGAAAGCUCAUACAUCACCACGAUACAUAUAACAAUAGCAAAAAUGACAAUAAUACAAGGUAAGACAAGUAAUCAACUUAAGGACUGUAAAUCACAAGGACAUGGUAGAACCAGCUCACAAGGAAUAACCACAGAAAAGAAUGAUGACAUAAAGGGAACAGUUUAACACGGGAGAGCUAACGUAUAGCGACGAUCCCCCAAUAUACAAGUCAAUAACAAGGAAAUCAACGCGAGUCAAGUAGUCCCAAAUAAGGGGCAAGUCAACAAGUAUAUAGAUUAUCUAACUCCUUUUUAAGGUUGGACAAAUUCCGAGGAUAUUCGACAAUUCAAUUAGGGAGAGAUGAUCUUUAGUUUCACUUAAGACAAAACAAAGUUUCAUGAAGGAUGCUAAUGGUUCUCACAUAAGACAAACAGCUACGAAAAGAUAGCGUGACAAUAGGAGAGGCGAAAUUCUUUAAUUAAAUCAAAUAGGAGUCAGUUAAGCAAUAAGAGUGAAUCAUGAAGCAAUUAUUUUCAAACAAGCAUGUAGAUGUGAAACUAGUAAUUAGUAAAUGCAGUCAUGUCAAGGACACAUUCAUACACAGUGAAUAUAAGGAUCUAAUUAGUCUAAAAGACCAAUUUUUCACAGAUAAGUCCGAGGACGCACCUGUCACCUCGUGUACACAACUACCUCAAAAACAAAAAACCAACACUCUAAGAUGCACUUCUCGGGUGAAAAGACCUAUGGACGACUCACUUCUAACCAAAUUAACUUCAAAGCACAAAUAAAACACAUAAGAGACUAUUCUGGAUCAUAAAGUCUUAAUCAUGAUAAAAAAAUUCUAAAAAUCGGUCCAAAAGUCGACCCCCGGGCCGGCACCUCGGAACCCGACAAAUUUUACAAAAACUGAAUAUUCAUUCUGAUACGAGUUAAAUACUACAAAAUUUAUCAAAUUCUGAUAUCAUUUGGUCCCUUAAAUCCCGAUUUUUCAUUUUAGAAUCUUUCUUCGAAACCAACUCUUUCCCCAACCCAAAACACAAUUUAAAUGAUAAAAAUAAAGACAAAUUCAUGGAAUAUAUAUAAUGAUAGUUGAAUAACACUUACCCAAUCCUCAUUGGCAUCUGACUCUGCCUCUAGCGACACCUUCUCAAGGCAGAGUCGUUGAUAACUGCAGCUCGUGUCCUCACCGUCGGUGAGAGAAUGGAAUGAUAAAAGUUCAAACUCCGGGAUCAAUAAACUCGCACAAUAGGAAUAAAAGAGGUGAUAUUGUACUAUUAGUUCCGUAACCUCUCGAAGAUAAGUACAGACGUCUCCGUACAGAUCCGCAAGA
RNAcentral lists this long non-coding RNA (69317 nucleotides) under Nicotiana tabacum (common tobacco). RNAcentral's name for it is "long non-coding RNA (NTAB_LNC015883)". The record is from RNAcentral. Lineage: Eukaryota; Viridiplantae; Streptophyta; Magnoliopsida; Solanales; Solanaceae.